GGUUUUCAGUGUUCUACUUUUACUUGUUGGCAAAUACUACAUUUUCCACGUAACUAGCCACUUCUUUUCUUAUAUUUGGCCACCAGUAGUAUUGUUUUAGAUCCUGGUACAUCUUAGUACUACCUGGAUGUAUAGUGAACUUAGACUCGUGAGCCUCUCAUAGUAACUUUUGUUUAAGGGCUCUGUUGUCAGGCACAUACAUACGUCGCCCCAACAUCACUAGUCCAUCAUCACCCAUUCAAAAAAGAGUUCCACCCCCCGAUUCCAAUUUGAUUCCUACUUUUAACACCUCAUCAUCAAGUUGUUGUGCCUCUAAUAUUUGCUCUCGAUAUCCUGACUUCACCUUUAGUUGAGCCAUUAAGGAUCCUUCCGGACUAACACUUAAUAUUGCUCCCAAUCUCUUUAGUCCAAUCAUGGUUUCCUCAUUCCAAGUCGCUGGUCCACCCUUAAUUGCCUUGUGCUUACGGCUAAGAGCAUCCGCGACUACAUUCGCUUUUCUUGGAUGAUAAUCUAUAAUGCAGUCGUAAUCUUUAAUUAAUUCUACCCAUCUCCGUUGUCGUAUAUUCAACUCUUUCUGUGACAUUAGAUAUUUAAGGCUCUUAUGAUCCGUGAAAAUUUGAACCCGGGAUCCGUAUAAGUAGUGCCUCCAUACUCGUAAAGCAAAAACUACUGCUGCCAAUUCUAAGUCAUGAACUGGGUAGUUGACUUCAUGAGUCUUCAGUUGUCUCGAUGCAUAGGCAACUACUUUUCCAUGUUGCAUUAGAACAUAACUCAAUCCUUUUCUUGAAGCAUCACUAUAGACUACAAAGCCUUCUGUUCUAGAUGGAAGGAUUAGUACGGGAGCAGUAGUAAGUCUUCUCUUCAAUUCUUGAAAGCUCUCAUCGCACUCCUUUGACCACUCCCAUCUUAUGUUCUUCCUGGUGAGUCGUGUCAGUGGAGUUACUAUCAUUGAAAACCCUUUGAUAAAUCUUCUAUAAUACCCUACCAAUCCGAGAAAACUAUGAAUUUCAGUUACCGUAGUAGGCUUUUCCCAUUUCAAAACUGCUUCCACCUUCUGAGGGUCCAUAAAAAUGCCUUUUGAAGACACCACAUGCCCUAAAAAGGUAACUUCUUUUAACCAGAAGUCACAUUUAUCCAACUUGGCAUACAAUUGCGACUCCUCAGAGUCUGUAGUGUCUGUCUCAGGUGUUGUUCAUGCUCCUCAUAGGAUUUGGAGUAAACCAAGGUGUCAUUGAUGAAUACGACAACAAACUUAUCAAGGUAUGGUUGGAAUACUCGGUUCAUUAAAUCCAUUAAAAGUGCUGGAGCAUUAGUUAAUCCAAAGGGUAGCACUAAGAACUCAAAGUGUCCGUAGCGAGUUCUGAAGGCAGUUUUCGACACAUUUUGCCCCUUGAUUCGCAUUUGGUAGUAUCCUGAUCUUAAAUCAAUCUUUGAGAAUACUUUGGCACCCUUCAACUAAUCGAAAAAAUCAUCUAUCCGUGGAAGUGGAUAUCUGUUCUUUACCGUCACUUUAUUCAGCUGACGGUAAUCUAUGCAAAGCCUUAACGUUCCAUCUUUCUUCUUUAGAAAUAAUACAGGUGCCCCCCAAGGUGAGUUGCUUGGUUGUAUGAACCAUUUGUCUAAAAUCUCCUGCAAUUGAAUUUUCAACUCAUCUAAUUCUUUUGGGGCCAUUCUAUAUGGUGGUUAGGCUUUAGGAGACACCCUAGACAAUAUCUCUAUGGUGACUUCAACUUCUCUUUCUGGGGGUAGUCUUGGCAAUUCUCUCGGAAAUACGUUCGGAAAUUCCCUCAUAAUUGGAAUGUUAGACAACCCUAUUUUACCCUUUUUCGAAUUUAUCACAUAGGCAAGGUAUGUUGUACAACCUUUCUUUAGUAGUUUUCUCGCAACCAUACCCGAGAUCAUAUUUGUAAAGUUGGAAAUUCUCUCCCCCUUAAAGACCAUUGUUUCACCCUUAGCCCCUUGGAAGGUUACUGUUUUUGUAAAGCAGUCUAGACGAGCCUUAUUUUCCCCAACCAAUUCAUACCUAGAAUUAUAUCAAAAUCACUUAAUUCUAGGGGUAUUAAAUCUGCUUCUAGUUCACACCCAUUAAUGUUAAUUCCCACCCCUUCAAAUACAACAUUUGUUUCCGCAGUUUCACCUAAAGGUGUCCUAAUAAUAAAUCCUUUGUCUACCCUUUUUGUUUCUUUACUUAAUUUGGUUACACUUUUAUUUGCUAUAAAGGAGUGAGUGGCACCAAAAUCAAACAAAACAUGCAUUUGAUAAUCAUUCAUUUGCAGCAUACCUGCCACCACAUCUGAUGCUGCUUUGACAUCCUCCUGGGUCAUAUGGAAAACCCUUCCUUGAUCCCUUUCAUUUUGCACUCUAGAUCGUCCCCUAUUUGAGUUAGCUCCUGACUAAGUCGAUCUUCCCGGUCUGUUUACUGUGAUGGACUGCUGAUGACUCUGGCUUUGCUGCCUAUGUCUCUGAGGCUAUUCAGUGCUUAAAUGGGGGCAUUCCCUUUUAAAGUGACCCUUCUCACCACAAUGAUGGCAUCGUCUUUCCAAGUAUUGACAGGUUUUCCACUUAUGACCUUCUCCUCGACAUAUAUAGCAUCGUCCAGGAGAAACCCUACAACUCCCGGGGUGUCUUUGUUCACUCUGAGCACAUCGAGGGUAGACAAUUUCCUUCUGAUCAUUAUGCUCCCUUGUAGCUAUAGCCCUGGAGUGGGUCUAACCACUUCUCGACCUCCCACCGAUAUCCUGUCGGAAGCUGGUUGACGUCUCCCCUUUCUUUUUGAAUUGAAGGAAAUGUUCGCCUCUACCUUUCUUUGGAAGCGGCGGCUUACCUAAAAAUUCUAUAUCCUUUCAUUUUCCUGCACCCCCAUGACUCUGUUGGCCUUCUUCCAUACAAGCCUCCAAGGCCUGUGCUGCUUUAAUCAGUUCCCUUAUUGUUUUGAAUUGUAAAGCAAUCAACCCCUGCUUCAAUUCUUGUCUGAAGCCAUCCCUUAACUUUUCUAUCAUGUGUUGUUCUAAUAGGACAUAAUAUUGCGUGAAUAGUGAGAGGUCAUGAAAUCAUCGCUCAUACUCAAGUACUGACGUUCUCUCCUGUCUCAAGGCUAGAAAUUCCUGUUCUUUCAUCUUCCGAUGAUAUCUGGAGUAAUAUUGAUUCUUAAACUCUAUCUUGAAAUCAUACCAGGAUAGGGUUUUUGUAGCCCUCCUCAACUGAACUGUCUCCCACCAAGUCAUAGCACCUUAUGAUAGUAAUUAAGUAGCACAAUCUACCUGCAGAUCAUGUGGUAUCUUAAUUUGAACCAUGGUUUUCUCCACCUUUCUAAUCCACCUUCCCGCCACUUCAGCAUUCUGUUCACUUGAGUAGGGUUCACAACCCAUUUCUCUCAUACUUUUCACCAAACGAACUAGUUGUACCACGUCAUUAGUAGUUGUAGCUGCUUUUGAAACGGUUGGUAUGAUGGGUGCAAGUGGGGGUGCUAGCAUAGAAGUGGCAGCAUUAGCCAUACCUUCCAUUACUGCUUUGACUAGCUGGGCCAAGAGCAUCGAAUCAACAUAAGAAAUAGAUGGCCCUACAGGUGUAGUCUGAGGGGGCUCCUCUACUUGUUCCUGUGGGGCUGACAUGGUCGGCCAAACAUCCCCAAUUUAUCUUGGUGCUUGUCUAAUUUGAGGCCCCGACGAUUCUUCGUGCCUUGCUUGAGUCGAUACUAUCGGUACAUGUGAGGCAGUAUCUUCCAAAGGGCUCUCUUCUUGCCCCUCGGAAGAAUCUAUAUUUCUAUUCCCCCUCCCUGUAGAGGAUAGAUCUGUUCUAAUCUCUUGACGUACAUACCAUCCUGCAAUAAAUUAAUAAACAUCAACAACCUCUUUUGAUUUCUUUCUAGAACCUAUACCAGGGCUCUGAUACCAACUGUAACAGUUCAAAUGUACGACUCGAUCAAUGUAAAAAAUUCCAACAUAUCCUCUUUAUUUUAGGGUAAAUGUUUUUUUCUUUUUUCUUUUUUCAAAAAUUCGGCAGAGUUUCGUUUGCAUUUAGGACAUCCCAAGUUAUCGACUACUAUCAGUUUACUCAAUCAACCCACCAUCACAAGGUCCCAUAAUUCCGGACCUUAUAUCAAACCUCAUAAUUCCACACAAUAUAUAUAUAUAUAUAUAUACACACGAGUAAGAUAAAUAUGAACAUAGUCCAAACAUCACAUCAUAAAAUUUAAAAGAAAAGGAAUAUUGACAUGCAAAGAAAAUAUUUACAACCUAAUAAGUGUCCCUAAAUGUUUCAAAAGGGUUAAUUACAAGAUAACUAAAAUACAAAAUGCUAAGCUGAACUUUUAUAAUUACAUCAAGGUUUACACAAAUGUAUACUACAUAUCACGUUACUUCCCUUUUGCUUUAAAUAUUUACAUAAGCAUCAUAAAGUAGAGUCCUAAACUAAGGAUCUUCCUGGAUGUUUGAUGGGCCUGUACAUAAAUAAACAUACCAUUAUGUUGAUAAAAAAUAUAUUUAUGCUCAUGUAAUGAAUACGAAUGAAGUAUUAACUUUCUAUCGAAUCCAUGAGAAUUCUAACAAGGAACUUAUAAUUUGCUUGUAAAUCUUUUGAACCCAAUUAACACUCAUUUGUAUAUUCUUAGAUGAAUAAUCUUAUUUACUUGCAUACACUGGGUGACCUUGCAAAGUCUAAUCUUGUAAUUUAUUUCCUAGCAAUCCUAUCACGGAUCUCAUUAGCCGAAGCUAAUCUUGUAAUUCACAUCCCGACAAUCCUAUCACGGAUGCCAUUAGCCGAAGCUAAUCUUGUAAAUCACAUCCCGGCAAUCCUAUCACGGAUACAAUCUUAUCACGGAUGCAAUUUGCCGAAGCUAAUCUUGUAUUUACGCUAGAUUUUAUUUAUAUUGAACACGAUAUUUACUGUAACUGCAUACACCAGAAAAAUUUUAAAUUAUAUAAGUGCAAAUAGGAGGAAAAAUCACGCACCUGCUUCGCCUGUCUCGCGACCUCCCCUAACAGAAGAUCCAAUCCUGGUUGCUCCUCCUGAAUCACAAGGAAGUUUUUUGGUUAUGAUUCCUUCAAGCCCAUAUUAUAGAGAAUUCAUAUUCAUCCAUUACUCAUAUGUUACUUUCUAUGCAUGUUCAUUUCCUCAUAAUAACAUACAUACAUAUCUCAUAUAUAUUUUCAGAGUUAGUAUCUCAAUGUGUAAGUGUUCAUAUGACUCAAUUCUUUUAUAUUCUUAUUUAUAGUAUUCACGUGAAAGUCUAUUGUUACUGUCCAAUUUCCAAAUGUCACUGUCUCACUUUGAAUUGUCACUGUCCAAUUUCUGUCUCACUUUGAACUGUCACUGUCCAAUUUCCAACUGUCACUGUCUCCCUUUGAAGUGUCACUGUCCAAUUUCCAACUAUCACUGAUUAGUACUUAAAAGUGCAUAUUUAUCAAGGUUUUAUAUCAUCAUUUUGUACUUAAAGUAUCAAUAACUCCUUAACUAAAGCAUGUUUUAUAAUAACAAGUCUAAUACUAUAAAAUGCCUUAAUAUAUGGUAAAUGUUCAUCUUAAAUGUAGGCCUAUCAUAUAAAUCAAAGGAUUGAUUGAUGAGUUCAAGUAUGGAAAUUGAAAGGACAAUGAGAGGGUGAAGCUUAGAAAAGAGAUGUUGGUGCAGUCCAAACUGGAACACUGUUCGGUAAUUGGGUCAUAUCUCGAGUUCUAGAUAUCAAAAUGAUCUCAAAUUUUUAUAAAAAAAAUUCAGUAAGACAUAGGCCUACAACUUUCAUGUUUUCAUCAAGAUCUAAGAAGGCCGUUUCCAAGUCCAAAUUAUAGCAACAACGGAAAAGUCCAAAUCUGUCCUACAGCCCGAACACUGUUCAGUGUUUGACCCAUAUCUGAAGUUUUAGAAGUCCAAAUCACCUCCAUUUUUUUCCCUGGAAAGCUGAGUCAAUUUCCUACAACUUUCAUGUUUUCAAGUGGACCCAAUUCUGAUGCUAGCAUUUUUGUUUUAUUCAGACAAGAAGAUAAGGAUUUUCACAAAGUCAAAAGUUGGUCACCCACUCAACAAUUAGUCAUCAAAUCAAUAAUUCCGAAUUUUGACCUAUAAAAGGAGGCAUUUGCCAUGUAUUUGUGAGCUUGGUAGUUCAGAUCAAGUUCAUGCUAUUUAUUUCUCUCUUUAUAUUUUUUGUAAUUCUUAAGUUUUGCUUUUAUUAAUUUCUUGUUUAUGCUUUUCAUUUCCUUUCCUUUCCUUAGUUAACUUGUAUCUUAUUUAUGUUCUUGUUUUGUUUAUUUAUGUUUCUCUUCUUCAUUAUGUUUAGCUAAGUUUAUUAUGUCAAGGUGAAAAGGUUACACUAAUGGUGUAAGAAUAAGUAUAGUGUAAACUCAACAUGGACCUUAAUGUUUAAUAUUAACAUGUCUUAUCUUUUUAUCUUACUAAUUCUUAAUACCUUGCUUGUUAAAUGGUUAAUCUAGAUUUGUGUUGUAUAAUACUUGGUACAACAAAUGCUUUGCACUCUUAUAGCCCAACCAUAUGGUAUUACCUACACCUGAGCUAUGAAAGGAACUUGAUUUGUUGUUAACAUCAAUUAACAUCAUGAAUUCCUGAUAAUAUUUAAAAGUUUGGUGUUAUAUAAAUAAGAUAAUUAAUAUGAUCAUGUUAAUAAUUUAUAAUGAGCUAUUAAUGAGAAAUCAUCCGAUUGGAACCUCCUUUGUUUGUGGUUUCCAAUUGAAUAAUAAGAGUUUAUACUAUACUUGUUUGAAAUACCAUUAGUGGAUCCUCUAACCUUGACAUUUAUUUUUAUCAUUGUUUAAUCCUUACAUUAAUCUUUCAUCUCAAAGUUCUCAUUAAUUUCUUCAUCUUCUUCUUUAACUACUACUACUACUACUAUUACUACUACUACUACUACUUGUGUUGUUGUUGUUAUUAUUAUUAUUAUUAUUAUUAUUAUUAUUAUUAUUUACGUUCUGUUUAUAUUAUAUAAUAUAUAUCUUUGAUCUUUUCAUAAACUCAGUAUAUAGGCUCAAAACCUGUGACCCGAUCUUUUAGAUCAUUCUCAGGUAUAACAAUGCCACAUACUGAGUAUUAUUAUUAUUAUUAUUGUUAUUGUUAUUGUUAUUGUUGUUGUUGUUGUCUUGUUAUUUAUAAUUUAUACAAUUAACCUCUCUGUGGUUCGACCCCGGUCUUGCCGGGUUAUUUAUUACUUCGACACUCCUGCACUUGGGAGAAGACAUCAAUCUUUUGGUCGUGUCAAGUUUUUGGCGCCGUUGCCGGGAGGUAAAUUCUUGUACAAAUUAUAGUAUUUAUUUUUUUCUCUUUUCACUUUUCUUAUCUAACUUUUUUCUUUUUUUGUUUGUUUCUUUUUUUUUUUUCUUCUUCCUUUUAUUCUCUUUCUACACGUGCAUGUUUGGUCACGUACAUUAAGUGGUAGACUUUGUAGGGUAUCCUCAUCAUUUUCAGAAAAUAUGGCCGAAGAAGAUAACCAAUCACUUCAUAAUGAGAAUAAUGAGAAUAAAGAAUCCGUUAGGACACUUAGAGACCACAUGAAUCCCACAAGAACAAGUGCACCCUCAUGCAUAGUUUUCCCUCCUGAUGCAUCCAUUUUAAUUUUAAGCCAGACAUUAUUCAACUUUUACCUUCUUUAUGGCUUAGAUCUAGAAAAUCCAUACUUGCAUUUGAGAGAAUUUGAAGAAGUUUGUAAACCUAUAAUGACUUAAAUUGUAGCAUGAAUACCAUUAGAUUAAAGCUUUUUCCUUUUUCAUUAAAAGAUAAAGCUAAAACAUGGCUACAAAAUUUAGGUCAGGAUCCAUUCGUGCUUGGGAUGAAAUGCAACAACAAUUUUUAAAGAAGUUUUUUCCAUCUCACAGAACAACUCUUUCAAAAGACAAAUCACACUUUCACUCAAAAACCAGGAAACAUUUUACCAAUGUUGGGAUAGGUAUCGAGACUUGCUUAAUACUUGCCCUCAUCAUGGUUUUGAAACAUGGAGAUUGGUUUCACAAUUUUAUGAAGGUUAACACCUAAGAUAGGCAAAUGGUUGAAUUGAUGUGCAAUGGAACUUUUGAAGAUAAAGACCCUAAUGAAGCAAUGGAGUACCUAGACUUGCUAGCUGAAAAUGCUCAAAAUUGGGACACCAAGGUACUUAUGAGGCACCAAGUAAAACCAACCUCAUACAUCUAGUGGAGGUAUGCAUAACCUUAGGGAAGAUCAUGACCUCCAAGCCAAGUUUGCAUCUUUAGCUAGAAAAGUCGAGGCACUAGAAUUGAAAAAGAGUGGUCAAUUAAAAUCUGUUCAAGACAUUGUGUGUCAAAUCUGUGAAACAAAUGAACAUGCAACCAAUGAUUGUCCAACUUUGCCUUCUUUCAAGGAAUGCCUCCAUGAACAAGCCCAUGCUUUAAACAGUUUCCAAAGGCCCAAUCAUAACCCAUACUCGCAAACAUACAACCUGGUUGGAGAAAUCACCCAAAUUUUAGUUGGAAGAGUGAUAACAAUAAUGCACAAACUUCACACCACCGUUUCAAGCACACCAUAAUUUCCAAAAUUCUCAUGGAUAUGCACCUCCUUAUGCUCCACCUCCUAGAAGAAAUCUUGAGGAAACAUUGCAUGCAUUCAUUGAAAAGCAAGACAAUCAACACUCAACUUGCUCAAAGCAUGACAUUUUAAAGAUGCUCUUGCAAAAUUAACAUCUGCUCUCAGUUUCAAGAGAAAGGUAAGUUUCCAUCUCAACCACAACAAAAUCCAAAGGGGCAAUACAAUGCAAAUGCAAGUAGUUCUGGAAGCCAACACAUGGAUCAAGUCAAAUCAGUCAUCACUCUUCGUAGUGGUAAGGUUAUUGAAAAACCCACUUGAACCUUGUGAGAAAGAUGAUGAGUCAUCUCUGAGGGUAAGGAAGGGGUUGAAUGAACAUUGCAAAGAAAAGACUGAUUCUCCGCCAGCACUUCCAUUUCCUCAUGCCAUGACCAAACAAAGGAAAGUCAAUCACAACUCUGAAAUCUUUGAAAUUUCAAACAGGUAAGGAUCAAUAUACCUUUGUUGGAUGCUAUUAAACAGGUUCCUUCCUAUGCUAAAUUUUUGAAAGAUCUAUGCACUGUGAAGAGAAAACUGAAUGUGAAAAAGAAAGCCUUUUUAGCCGAACAAGUAAGUGCCAUUCUUCAGAACAAUAAUGCUUUGAAAUAUAAAGACCCUGGUUGUCCUACAAUUUCUUGCUUUAUUGGAGAACAUAAAAUUGAAAGAGCCUUACUUGAUCUUGGAGCUAGUGUGAAUUUACUUCCAUAUUCAGUUUUUCAAAGUCUCAAUCUAGGUGAGUUAAAACCAACUUCUGUAACUCUUUUACUUGCCGAUAGAUCUGUAAAAGUGCCUAGAGGAAUAAUUGAAGAUGUGUUAGUACAAGUCGAUAAAUUCAUUUAUCCUGUGGAUUUUAUUGUCUUGGACACGCAACCUGUUGAAGCAUGUAAUUCAUUUCCUAUUAUUUUAGGACGUCCGUUUCUUGCAACUUCUAAUGCAUUGAUUAAUUGUAGGAAUGGACUAUGAAGCUAUCAUUUGGAAACAUGACAUUGGAGAUGAAUAUUUUCAACAUUUGCAAGCAGCCUGGAGAUGAUAAUGAUUUACAAGAAGUAGAUCAUAUUGAAGAAUUAGUUCAUAAUCAACUUGAAUCUACUUUGAGUAAAAUUGAGUUGGAUGAAUCUGAAGAUUUGCAAAUGAUUUAUUCUCAGGAAGAAAUCACGGAUGAAAAAGGCACCAAAAAUAUUGAUGUCGAUCUUUUAUCAAGAGUGACAACAGAUUUGACAUCUGACAUCCCACCAACAGAUUUGAAUCCUUACUUUCUCUUAGUUCAAUGCCUUGGUUUGCUAAAAAUAUCAACUUUCUUGCUUUAGGAGAUUUGCCAGCUCACUGGAGUACUGAAGACAAAGGAAAGUUUUUGAAUGAAGUGAAGAACUUUUAUUGGGAUGACCCUAACUUAUUCAAAUAUUGUCUUGAUCAAAAUUUUCAAAGAUGCAUUCCUGACAAUGAGGUAAGUAGUGUCAUUAAACUUUGUCAUUCUGAAGCAUGUGGGAGUCAAUUUCAUCAAGAAAGACGACUGCAAAAAUCUUACAAAAGGAUUUUAUUGGCCCACCAUGUUCAAGGACACGCAUGCAUUCUGCAAAACUUGUGAAAAUUGUCAAAAAGUUGAUAUUGGUCAAAAAGUUUUGCUUUAUAAUUCUCGACUCCAUUUAUUUCCUAAAAAAAUAAGAUCACGAUGGAGCGGUCCAUUUAUUUUAAAACAUCUAUAUCCUUAUGGGGCCCUUGAUAUUGAGAAUUCAAAGAAUGACAAUGUUUUGAAGGUAAAUGGACAUCGUUUGAAAGCUUACUUUGAUGAGUUUCCUAGUGAAAAUGAAUCCAUUGGUUUGAAUGAUCUUGUAGAUAAAGGUUGAUUAUUUUGUUUUUCUCACAUUUUUUUUUUGUGUUCCUUUUUUUGGUGUGACUUUUGUUUUGCUAGUUUAUCUCACCCCGGUCAAAUGGCGGAUAACGGUACUCCGUGACUCUUAAGUCGGUUCUUUCAGUUUCCCAUGAUAACUGAUAUCUGUGUAUAUAUUUAUGCAAUUAUUUGCUCUUUCUCCUUUCUUUGAAUCUCUCCCCCAAUUCUCAGUUGAAAAUGGACACCACUCUUGAAAAAUUGAAAAAGUAUUUUCCCGCUUUGCCUCAGAAUGCGAUUACAAAAAUUUAACGUGCUAGGUGUGAAAGAUUGAGGUUGUUAAUGAACCAUGAAAUUCCUGAAGAUAUUUGUUGGCUGAUUGAAGCAAAGGUUCGGUUAUCAGGUGAGUCCUUCAAUUCUUUCAUUUCAUAUAUGCUUGGAACAAGUAAAAGCAUUUUUGCAAAGAAACGUCAUGCAAAACGACUGCAAGUCUGUCAUAGAUGUGCCAGAUGGACUUGUAAUGUGACAUGUCGUUCUUUAGGAAUGAUAUCUGUAAACCGUGAAGAUAAAAUACAAUUCAUUAAGGAUGGCCUGAGUAAGGGGUCUUUAGAUAAUCUUCUAUUGACUCUUGAGACGUACCCUAGUGGAGAUGUGCAUCGUGCAAUUUAUGAUUUAUGACCCCAAUUCCAUAAAGAACAUGCUCGACUUAGUCUUAGGAAUCUGACUAAAAAAGACCCUGUUUGCUAGUUUUUAAGAAAACUGGAUGGGAAGCCUAUCCCCGACCCAUAAAGGGCGUUUAAGCCGUUCUUGGACGUAAAACCAAGGAAAGAUGUGAGCCACAAUCACAACUACCUGUACAUACACAUGCUUUUUCAAAAUAAAUAAAUAAAUAAAUAAAGAGAGAGAGAGAGAGAGAGAGAGAGUGUGUGUGAGACUACAGCUGGCCUACAUAUAGGUGGUAUGAUUGCAUUAAAAAGAAGAACCACCCGAGAGAACCGGCUUUGUCUUCAUCUUCAGGAGCAGCAGACCACAGGUAAUCUCCCCUUUGCAUUUUAAUUCACUGCUUCAGCAGCAGUGAAUAAUAAUUCACCCAGCUGUAUUCUCGUUGAACAGCUGAGGGUGUGUAGAAAAAAGGAAAGUGUUUUCCUUUCUUUAACAUAAGAAAAACACUUUCCUUUGGCAACACUAUUAUUUUUAGGUUGACUGGAAUUCAUUUUCCUUUGACUAUUUUCCCUUGUUGUCGCCAAACAUAGGAAAAGCAGGAAAGUGAAUUCCAGGAAUUCACUUUCUUGGAAUCAAACACGGCCUUAGGUAGCGAGAAAAAUCCAUAACUUUGAGGAGAACCGGCUUUGUCUUCAUCUUCAGGAGCAGCAGACCACAGGUAAUCUCCCCUUUGCAUUUUAAUUCACUGCUUCAGCAACAGUGAAUAAUAAUUCACCCAGCUGUAUUCUCGUUGAACAGCUGAGGGUGUGUAGAAAAAAAGAAAGUGUUUUCCUUUCUUUAACAUAAGAAAAACACUUUCCUUUGGCAACGUUAUUAUUUUUAGGUUGACUGGAAUUCAUUUUCCUUUGACUAUUUUCCCUUGUUGUCGCCAAACAUAGGAAAAGCAGGAUCCAUAGGUGUUUCAGUCUCUUAACAUUUUGAUAGUCCAGCGAAAUGACUAUAUUGCUCUUAAAUGCAAAAAAAUUAAAAUUGAUGUUCAGGGUUUUUUGUAUUUUCAUCGUGGCUUCUUAGUUAUAAUCAAUGUCAAUUAAAGGCAUUUUAGUCUUUUAGAAAUAUAAAUAUGAUUAAAAAAUAAAAAGUGGUUGAUGCUAGUGUCUGGGAGGUGCCCGCACUCUUUAGACAACGCAUGCAACAUCUAUUAGCGGAUAAACACUGCCUUUUAUGACGGCGUUGGAAGCAUCACAAUAUCUUUUUUCUAGUGAUCAGGUACACAUGCAUGGCUUUUUUUCAUUUCCGUCAUCUUAUCUCUCUCUUAGCCUCAAGUUUCAUGUCAGCUUUUUCAAAAAUUAAAUGUAUCAUGUUUAAUUUGUAUUUGUAUCAAUUUUAUUCUCAUUAUUUUAAUUACUAUUUGUUUUGAUUGAAAUACAUUUUAAAGUUGAUUUUUUCUUCAAUUUCAUCUUUCAACAUUUUAUUUCUCCUAGUUUUUCAAACAAUAGAGUUGGGUUGUCUUUAUGAUAUAGACAAUGUUUUUAUAAAUUUUUAUUUUUUUAUUUUUUAUAGUUUUUUCGGUUUGUUUUGAUGUGUUGUUGUAAAAAAGUAAUUCUUUAAAAAUAAAAAAAUAUAUAUUAAUAUAUUUUUAAUAAAAAACACUUUAAAAAACAAUUUAUAUUUGUUUUUACGUUAUAUUAUAAUGGUUAUGACGAUUUGAUUGAGAAGAAGUCACCAGCGGCUAGAAGAGAAAAGUUAAUUAAUUUCUCUCUUACUCUCCAGGUUUUCUAUUUUUUUUCUUCUGUGUGUGCGUGUUAGGGAAUGAGAGAAUAGAAAAGAGUGCUUCAGUGUGAGAUUUUUUUUUUAUGUUUUUUAAUAAAUCCCGGGUCAACCCAUCUGACCCGUGACCUGGUCAUUAGUCCGGGUUGACCACCGGGUCGGAUUUCAAAACUAUGGUACAGAGGGUGCACAUUGUUGACUCCUAGGAAUUUAUUAUGUACAAAAAGCUUCAGGUUAUUUUCUUUUAUGAUUUGGUAAGGAAAGGCAUCAAGUCUUCGAUCCAAGUGUUUGAGCGACUUUGUUGACUUCACAUUAUGUAAUAACGGUUAUUAUGAUUUAAUUGGGUAGAACUUGUUACUCUGCCCUGAUAAUAGGAUUUUUUUUUAAAAAAAAUACUAUUAGAGAGAUAAAAUGGUUAAAAAUUUUUUUUAGAAAAAACAACACAUUUUUUAAAAACCUGCUAUUUUAAAUCAUGAUUUUAAUAUAACCGUGAUUUUGCAAAAUCACAAUGUAACCAAAUAAUUUGGCAAUGCCUUUUCUUUAUAUAUAUAUAUAUAUACACACACAAGCAUAUUGGUAUACGCUCUGCAACAUAUCAAUAACAAUUAUUUUUUAUUUAUAUGUAAAAAAUAUAAAGAAUAAAGAAAAUAUAUUAAAUGCCUUGGGUUUGAUAGCAACUCAAUUUUAGGUGGUCCUGACGGCAGCAAAGCCCAACGCUAUUGGGUCCUAAUAAAAAUAGAGCCUAACUUUAUGAAAAAAAAAUCUCAUCAAUUUAUUUCAAAAAAAAAAAAGAUUACAAAAGUAAUAAGAAAAAAAACAAUCUAAAAAGGCAAAAAAAUAAAAUUGGAUAUAUCUAGGUCUAACUACAAGUCAGACCCAAUAGCUAUAUAUAUAUUAUAAAUAAUUAAGUUUAAAAGAUUAUUUCAAAAGAUUUUUAUACCACAUUCAAAAGAGAUUAUCUUAUUCUUCUAAGUUGAAGUACUUAAAUAAAAAAGGAUUUAUUAUCCCACGCUGAAAAAACAUAACUUUUUGUCUUGUAAAUAUAUAAUAUAUAUACUAAAGAGCUUUAAAUCUCACAAUACAAAAAUAAAACAUUCUUCUAGUAUUUAUAAAGUGAACUUUGAAAUGAGUUAAUGAUCAAUUGAAAAAAGUAUAAAAAAGGCAUCCCUGUAGAAUGAAAUUUAUUUUCAAAAAAUAUUUCUAAUAUGUGUAGCCUUACAUAUUAUUUUUUCUCUUUUAUUUUAAUCAAUCAAUUUAAUGUGUGUGUUUAUUUUUAUUAUCGUUUGAUUGAAUAAAAAAUUUAUUUUAACUAACAAAUUUAGCAAAUACAACUGCCUAAAUAUUAUGUCUUGUGAAAUUAAAUAUCUUGAUCUAUGUCUCUUGAUUUUUCUAAUUGUUAUAUUUAAUCAUUGUUUAUGAUUUUUUUUACUUAUUAACACACAUAGUUCUUAAUUUAUUUGAUUAUAUGUACAUAUAAGUUUUUUAAUUUUCACUUAGAAUUUUUUUCAAAUACAAAAAUGUGUUGAAAAAGUCUAUAUAUAAAUUUUUUUAUUAAAAAAAAUAUCUAACCCGUGGUGAAACAAGGGUCAAAUAGUGCAAACUAAAGACUAAUCCUGUAGUUUUCUCCUUCUUUAAUUCAAAAUUAGCAAAAGUGAACAGAUAACUCUCUUAAUGUGAAGUUAUCUCCUGCCUAAAAUAUAUGUUUAGCAAGUAAGAAUCAAAAGCUAAACAUGUUUAUCUUGCUAAACCUCCACGACACCUUAAACAGGAAGUGAUCAUCUCAUAGGAUUGUCUUUAACAGGUGGUUGGACAUAAGCAUAAAGAACAAAUAUAAUGAACACCAUAAUGAAUUAAGAGAAUUUUAAACUUCAAUUCAUUCAACAACCUGGAAAGGAAAUUUAGCUCCGAACGCAUUCAGUUGAGAGGAGAAACAUAAAAGCAGCAGAGAAGGUAACUUUUACAGGGUAAUUGAUAUCAUGAGAUCAAAAUGAUAUAAAAAAAUUAAUUUAAAAUAAAAAAAAUUCAAAUCCAAGUAUUUUCUCACGACAUUAUAGAGGGGCAUAUUGUUGACUUCCCGUAAAUUUCUCAUGUACAAAAGGCUUCAGGUCUUUUUAUUUGUGAUGCAAUAGGAAAGGGCAUUUAGGAGCUGUUUGUCUUUAUAGCAUAAACAAUGUUUUUAUAAAUUUUGAUUUUUUUUUAUUUUUUAAGAUUAAUUUGUUUUUAGUUAUUUUAGUUUGUUUUGAUGUAUUGAUAUAAAAAGUAAUUUUUAAAAAAUAAAUAAUAUAAUAUAAUAAUAUAUUUUUAAUUAAAAAAUACUUUAAAAAAUUAUUUUUCUUUUCAUAUCUUGAGUUAAAGUGUGUGCGAUAAUAAUAUUUUUACUUUUAUAUUAUAUUAUGAUGAUUAUGAUGAUUUUAUUGAAAAUAAAUGAUGAAAUAUGCUGGAAAAGUCUCAUCCACCAUAUCAAGUCUUUUCUCUUGAAACACAGAGAACUUGAUCCACCAUUGGAACUUGGACUCGUGUUAGGAACCUGGAAUUGGAUUUCAUACACGACUAAAUUGAGUACUUUAUGAGCUGAUUGAUAGAGAUCUUGGCACCAAACCAUGAAUCUGAUAUUUGCAUUACAGGAAUGUUUCCAACACAAGUUUUGAGGUAAAAUAGAAUGAUAAGACACAUGAGCACAUCCUAGUUAAAGAACAUGGAGUCAAUGGAAAGUAUAUGAACGAAAACAACAACUGUCAGACAUGAUAAUGUUAUCAAAUUUGAAAUGAAGUUGAUUGGAAGUAUAGUUGUGAUUUUUUUUUAAAUAGUAUUUUGUAUUAAAAUGUAUGUUAAUAAUAUUUUUUUAAAAAAAUUAUUUUUGAUAUAAACACAUUAAUUUCCUUCGGCUGUAUAAAGGUUUUCAUUGUUCUGGAUGAUGUGGAUGAUUUAAUGCGUUUGGAUGAAUGGAGAGAUUUGCUUGAUGGACGAAACAGUUCAUUUGGUCCAGGCAGUAAAGUUCUCAUAACAAGUAGGGACAAGCAAGUGCUUAAGAAUGUAGUAGACGAAACAUACGAGGUUGAGGGGUUGAACUAUGAAGACGCUAUUCAACUCUUUAGCUCAAAAGCCUUGAAGAAUUGCAUCCCCACAGUUGAUCAUAGAGACUUGAUAGAUGAGAUUGUAAGGCAUGUACAAGGCAAUCCGUUGGCUCUUAAAGUUUUGGGUUCCUCUCUCUAUGGUAAAAGCAUCGAAGAAUGGCGCAGUGCAUUGACUAAACUAGCUCAGGACCCUCAAAUCGAAAGGGCGUUGAGAAUUAGUUACGAUGGGUUGGAUUCAGAUCAAAAAUCUUUAUUUCUUGACAUAGCACAUUUCUUCAUAAGAUGGGAGCAAGACAAAGCAACAAGAAUAUUACAUGGCUUAUAUGGUCGGUCUGUGAUUUUCGAUAUAACCACGCUAAUUGAUAAGUGUCUCAUAAGUACUCCAACUAGUGACCUUUCUUAUGUCAUUCUAGAAAUGCAUGAUUUACUACAAGAAAUGGCAUUUAACAUUGUUCGUGCAGAAUCUAAGUUUCCUGGCAAACGUAGCAGGUUAUGUCAUCUUCCUGAUGUCGUUCAUGUAUUGGAGGAAAAUAAGGUUAAAGCUACACCCAUUAAAUGUCGUUCAUGUAUUUGCUCAAAAGUUGAUGUGUUUGAGUAGAUUGUAUUAUUGUUUGUUUAUUCUUUAUUAUUGUUUAACAGGGAACUGAAGAAAUUGAAGGCAUAUCUUUGGACUGGUUACCGAGACACAUACACUUGAAAUCUGAUGCCUUCGCAAUGAUGGAUGGUCUUAGAUUUCUCCAUUUCAAUCAACAUGGCCCCCCCGAAGAAGAUAAAAUUCACCUUCCUCCUACUGGCCUCGAAUAUCUUCCUAAUAAGCUGAGAUAUUUGAAAUGGUAUGGAUUCCCUUCGAAAUCCUUGCCCCCUUCUUUUCGUGCUGAACACCUUGUCGAGCUUGAGCUACGCGGAAAUUUAAGAAAAAUUGAUCUAUCAAUGGCCAAAAAUUUAGAGUGCUUAAUGCUCAUGGACUGUCCAAGUUUGGAGCAAACUUCCAUCAAUGAAGUUCCACAAUCAGUUAAUCGCAAGUUGAAACGUCUUUAUCUAAGUGGUUGCUCAAAGAUCACCGAGUUUCCAGAGAAUUUAGAGUAUAUAGAAGAAUUAAAUUUAAGUGGAACUGCUAUUAAAGAGGUGCCCUCAUCAAUCCAGUUUCUCACAAGACUCCGCACAUUGAAUAUAAGUGGUUGCUCAAAACUUGAAAACUUCCCAGAAAUCACGGUGCCUAUGGAAUCUUUGCAGUAUUUUGACUUGAGUAAAACAGGCAUUAAAGAGAUACCCUCAUCAUUCAAGAAUUUAGAGUGCUUAAUGCUCAUGGACUGUCCAAGUUUGGAGCAAACUUCCAUCAAUGAAGUUCCACAAUCAGUUAAUCGCAAGUUGAAACGUCUUUAUCUAAGUGGUUGCUCAAAGAUCACCGAGUUUCCAGAGAACUUAGAGUAUAUAGAAGAAUUAAAUCUAAGUGGAACUGCUAUUAAAGAGGUGCCCUCAUCAAUCCAGUUUCUCACAAGACUCCGCAUAUUGAAUAUGAGUGGUUGUUCAAAACUUGAAAACUUUCCAGAAAUCACGGUGCCUAUUGAAUCUUUGCCUAUUGAAUCUUUGCAGUAUCUUGACUUGAGUAAAACAGGCAUUAAAGAGAUACCCUCAUCAUUCAAGGAUAUGAUAUCUUUGAUUACUCUAGAGUUAUAUCGAACACCUAUUGGAGAGCUACCCUUGUCAAUCAAAGAUAUGGUAUGUUUGAGUAUACUGACUUUGAAUGGAACGCCUAUGAAAGCGUUACCUGAGCUUCCCCCUUCGAUGUGGUUUCUAACAACACAUGACUGUGCAUCACUAGAAACCGUCAAUAUCGACAGAUUCUGGUAUCUAAUGGAUUUUACAAAUUGCUUCAAAUUGGAUCAGAAACCACUGAUAGCAGCAAUGCAUUUGAAAAUUCAGGUAUCUCUCUAAACCCCCUUGUCUUUCUUUCUUCUCUCUUUCUUGCUUGCUUCAUCACAUUUUUGAAAUGUAACUUUUGUGUUACAGUCCGGAGAGGAGAUCCGACAAACAAGACAGGGCGCAAUUCGAAUGGUUCUACCGGGGAGUGAAAUUCCAGAAUGGUUCGGUGAGAAAGGAAUUGGAUCUUCAAUCACCAUACCGUUGCCCUCAAAUUGUCAUCACCUCAAGGGAAUUGCUUUUUGCCUUGUCUUUCUAUUCUCUCUUGCCUCCCUUGACAUGCUUCAUGAAAGCAAUGGUUCUUCUGCUAUAUAUUUUGAUUACCAUGUUAAAAGUAAAAACGGUGAGCAUGAUGGUGAUGAAGAAGUCGUCUUCGCUUCCCGGGAAACGCGUUAUGCAUUAUAUUCCUUGAUGCCAAGUGACUCAGAUCACAUGAUUCUACACUACGAGCUCGAUUUGGUAAAUCAUUUACGUAAAUAUUCUGGCAAUGAAGUUACAUUUAAAUUCUUCCAUUUUUUGAGCAAACAUGGGAGGAAGGUAGGUUAUCAGAUCCGAAGGCCUUUCAAGUUGAAAAGCUGGGGGGUGUAUCUGCACUUUGAUGAAAAUCUACGGAGAAGAAAAUUUUGGAGAUAUAAAAGAAAUUGAAUGGGGGAAAGAGUUCUGUAAUUACUGCAGAUUGUUCAUCAAUUAUUACUUGGUUUUCUAGAUAGCUGUAAAUAUUGUUCUUCCCUUGCAACUGACUAACGAACUCACUCUCUGUUAUUCAACUAAUUCCUCAACUAACUGUAACAGCCAUCUAACUAAUGAAUACUAACAACAAAAGAAAAACAGUGAGUAUUCAAGAUUUUAUUAUUGCAUAUUUUAUAACUCUAUAAAUAAACUUAAAACUAGCUAAAAAAACUAAGAAAUAUGAAAAUAAAAAAGCAAAUGAGAAAUGAGAAAUGAGUGGCAGAGCAAACAGGCAAGAUCUUUUGCUAACUCAAAACCUUUUAAAGAAAAGAAAAAAAAAACACGAAGAUCAAUUUCAAAAAACAAAACGUUGAGGGACAUAGAAAACCAUCCACAUCAUGGCUUAAAAUAGUUGUGGUUUCUUUUUAAAUAAUUUUUUAUAUUAAAAUAUAUGUUAAUAAUAUUUUAAAAAAAAAAAAUUAUUUUUGAUAUAAACACAUUAAAAUGAUUUGAAAACACUAAAAACAUAUUAAUUUAAACUUAAUAAAAAAUAAUUUUUUUAAAAGCACUCUUAAGACGUACAAACAAGAUAAGAGAUAUAUUAAUUUAUAAUCUAAUUAAAUAAGACUCAAAUAAGUCAGUUUUAAUGAUUUUUUUAAUUAUUAGAAGCAAUAGAACAUGUUACCAAAACACUAUGCACACACAAAAAAAAACAUUUUUAUUGCAAUGGUUUAAUUAUAUUUUUUUCCCUUUCAAAAAAAAAAAAGCCAAAAGCUUAUAAGAAUAAUUUGAUCUUUUUAAAUUACCAGUGGUCAUUAAUUAUUUGAGUGGGGCAUAUGUAACCAAAGGCUUAUGAGUUAAGGACAAUUUUUUGACUGGAUAUACGUGACCCUUUUUAUUUUUUAUGCAUAGUAAAAUAAAUUUUUUAGCCUUUAUAUACAAAAAUAUAACGUUGUUAACAGAGAGUAUUUAGGUCGUUUACUUUUUAAAACAGUAAAAAGACAUAUAUACUGCUUUUUACGCCCCUGUAUGGGCAUAUCCAGUGGUCAAACCUAUUUUAUUUUAAGUGGAAGUUGGUUAAUUUGUGAUCAGAGAGUUUUUUUUUUUUUGUUAAUAUUUUAAUUUUAAUUUUAAUUUUUCUGAUAUUUAAUUUUUUUUUCUUAAUUUUUUUGUAAAAUUUUUUAUUUAUUUUUAAUUUAGUUCUUCAAUUUUAAUUUGUCACAUAUUAUUUUUUCAAUUUAAUCCUUCAAUUUCAAUUUGUCAUGUAUUAUUUUUUUUCAACUUGGUCCUUGUUCUUUAAUUUUUAUUUUUUUCUUACCCCAUUUGUGAAAGUUUUAUUGUUUUUCAAUUUCAUCAUUCAAUCAAAUUUUAUAACAUAUUAUUUUUCUAGUUUGAUCCUUAUUCUUUAAUUUUUUCCCUUUUAUUAAAAAUAUUUUUCUUUUCAAUUUAACUCUCUAAUAAAAAAUUUAGUUUUGUCUUUUAAUUUAAUUUUUAUUUCAAUUUUCAUCCUCAUUUGUUUAAUUAUCAUUUUUAAAUUUUUUUUAUUCUUUUUCAUUAAUAAUUUUAUUUAUUUAUUCAAUGUUUAAUUUUUUGAGGACAAGCCUUCGUGAUUUUUUCAUGUAUGGUAUUUUUUCAUGUAUUCAAUUUCUCAUUUCUCAUUUGCAUUUUUAUUUUCAUAUUUCUUAGUUUUUUGAGCUAGUUUUAAGUUUAUUUAAAGAGUUAUAAAAUAUGCAAUAAUAAAAUCUUGAAUACUUACUGUUUUUCUUUUGUUGUUAGUAUUCAUUAGUUAGAUGGCUGUUACAGUUCGUUGAGGAAUUAGUUGAAUAACAGAGAGUGAGUUCGUUAGUCAGUUGCAAGGGAAGAACAAUAUUUACAGCUAUCUAGAAAACCAAGUAAUAAUUGAAGAACAAUCUGCAGUAAUUACAGAACUCUUUCCCCCAUUCAAUUUCUUUUAUAUCUCCGAAAUUUUCUUCUGAACUUUUUGUCCGCCCGUAGAUUUUCAUCAAAGUGCAGAUACACCCCCCUGUUUUUCAACUUGAAAGGCCUUCGGAUCUGAUAACCUACCUUCCUCCCAUGGUUGCUCAAAAUAUGGUAGAAUUUAAAUGUAACUUCAUUGCCAGAAUAUUUACGUAAAUGAUUUACCAAAUCGAGCUCGUAGUGUAGAAUCAUGUGAUCUGAGUCACUUGGCAUCAAGGAAUAUAAUGCAUAACGCAUUUCCCGCGAAGCGCAGACGACUUCUUCAUCACCAUCAUGCUCACCGUUUUUACUUUUAACAUGGUAAUCAAAAUAUAUAGCAGAAGAACCAUUGCUUUCAUGAAGCAUGUCAAGGGAGGCAAGAGAGAAUAGAAAGACAAGGAAAAAAGCAAUUCCCUUGAGGUGAUGACAAUUUGAGGGCAACGGUAUGGUGAUUGAAGAUCCAAUUCCUUUCUCACCGAACCAUUCUGGAAUUUCACUCCCCGGUAGAACCAUUCGAAUUGCGCCCUGUCUUGUUUGUCGGAUCUCUUCUCCGGACUAUAACACAAAAGUUACAUUUCGAAAAUGUGAUGAAGCAAGCAAGAAAGAGAGAAGAAAGAAAGACAAGGGGGUUUAGAGAGAUACCUGAAUUUUCAAAUGCAUUGCUGCUAUCAGUGGUUUCUGAUCCAAUUUGAAGCAAUUUGUAAAAUCCAUUAGAUACCAGAAUCUGCCGAUAUUGACGGUUUCUAGUGAUGCACAGUCAUGUGUUGUUAGAUACCACAUCGAAGGGGGAAGCUCAGGUAACGCUUUAAUAGGCGUUCCAUUCAAAGUCAGUAUACCCAAACAUGCCAUAUCUUUGAUUGACAAGGGUAGCUCUCCGAUAGGUGUUCCAUGUAAAUAUAGAGUAAUCAAAGAUAUCAUAUCCUUAAAUGAUGAGGGUAUCUCUUUAAUACCUGUUUUACUCAAGUCAAGAUACUGCAAAGAUUCCAUAGCCACCGUGAUUUCUGGGAAGUUUUCAAGUUUUGAGCAACCACUCAUAUUCAAUGAGUUUUGAGCAACCACUCAUAUUCAAUGAGCGGAGUCUUGCGAGAAACUGGAUUGAUGAGGGUACCUCUUUAAUAGCAGUUCCACUUAGAUUUAAUUCUUCUAUAUACUCUAAAUUCUCUGGAAACUCGGUGAUCUUUGAGCAACCACUUAGAUAAAGACGUUUCAACUUGCGAUUAACUGAUUGUGGAACUUCAUUGAUGGAAGUUUGCUCCAAACUUGGACAGUCCAUGAGCAUUAAGCACUCUAAAUUUUUGGCCAUUGACAGAUCAAUUUUUCUUAAAUUUCCGCGUAGCUCAAGCUCGACAAGGUGUUCAGCACGAAAAGAAGGGGGCAAGGAUUUCGAAGGGAAUCCAUACCAUGUCAAAUAUCUCAGCUUAUUAGGAAGAUAUUCGAGGCCAGUAGGAGGAAGGAGAAUUUUAUCUUCUUCGGGAGGCCAUCUCUUAUAUUGAUUGAAAUGGAGAAAUCUAAGACCAUCCAUCAUUGCGAAGGCAUCAGAUUUCAAGUGUAUGUGUCUCGAUAACCUGGCCGUGUUCAAAGAUAUGCCUUCAAUUUCUUCAGUUCCCUGUUAAACAAGAAUAAAGAAUAAACAAACAAUAAUACAAUCUACUCAAACACAUCAACUUUUGAGCAAAUACAUGAACGACAUUUAAUGGGUGUAGCUUUAACCUUAUUUUCCUCCAAUACAUGAACGACAUCAGGAAGAUGACAUAACCUGCUACGUUUGCCAGGAAACUUAGAUUCUGCACGAACAAUGUUAAAUGCCAUUUCUUGUAGUAAAUCAUGCAUUUCUAGAAUGUCACAAGAACGGUAACUAGUUGGAGUACUUAUGAGACACUUAUCAAUUAGCGAGGUUAUAUCGAAAAUCACAGACCGACCAUAUAAGCCAUCUAAUAUUCUUGUUGCUUUGUCUUGCUCCCAUCUUAUGAAGAAAUGUGCUAUGUCAAGAAAUAAAGAUUUUUGAUCUGAAUCCAACCCAUCGUAACUAAUUCUCAACGCCCUUUCGAUUUGAGGGUCCUGAGCUAGUUUAGUCAAUGCACUGCGCCAUUCUUCGAUGCUUUUACCAUAGAGAGAGGAACCCAAAACUUUAAGAGCCAACGGAUUGCCUUGUACAUGCCUUACAAUCUCAUCUAUCAAGUCUCUAUGAUCACCUGUGGGGAUGCAAUUCUUCAAGGCUUUUGAGCUAAAGAGUUGAAUAGCGUCUUCAUAGUUCAACCCCUCAACCUCGUAUGUUUCAUCUACUACAUUCUUAAGCACUUGCUUGUCCCUACUUGUUAUGAGAACUUUACUGCCUGGACCAAAUGAACUGUUUCGUCCCUCAAGCAAAUCUCUCCAUUCAUCCAAACGCAUUAAAUCAUCCACAUCAUCCAGAACAAUGAAAACCUUUAUACGACGAAGCCUAUCCCUCACCAAAGUAUCUCGGAAACUCAAGGAGUCCAUAGUGUUCAGAGUUUCUGGGCCAAGCAGCCGUUUAAGAAAUCUUUUUCGCAAAUCAGAUUGUUGUCUAAAGUUUGCAAAAAAGAUUCUUUCAAAUCGAGAACGAACCUUAUUGCACACAACUUGAGCAAUCAUUGUCUUACCGAUACCACCCAUUCCCCAUAUCCCUAAAAUGAGAACAUCUGGAGAUUUCAUAUUUAACAAAGACUCAACUUUGUUAACACGAACAUCAAUUCCAAAGAGACCCGUAGUGUGACUUGAAGACAUGGCUUGCAAUUUAUUCAUAACAUCUCCAACGAUUUUUUCAAUAAAUUCAGACUCCAGCCUAACAAACAAGAAGAAACAUAUAAACAUACUCAAAUAUAUAGAAUAUUAUUUAAAGAUAGAAGAAAACAUUACAUGUCCUCGUAAAACAUAACGUAAGGAUUCCUAAGUAUCUAUUUUUUAUUUCCUAAAACAUAUUAGUAAUUACUUUUUAUUAUCUAUACAAACAUUUCGCUAUAAAUAAUACUUUUUAUUUUUUAAAAUAUUUUUUAAUAUAAACAAAUCAAAAUAUUCUAAAAACACAAUAUAUAUAUUUUAAUACACAAAACAACCAACCACGUAGCAUAUAUACAAGUGUUUUGCUACUACGUUUUCAAAAUCAAAUAAAAUAAAUAUGGAUUCACAGAGCUCAUAAUUCUCAAUAAUUUUAAAUUAAAUUACAAAUGAACCAAUAUUUUCUCAUGGGAUAUAUUUGAUGAGCUUACUCAGAAUUCCCUAAGCUCCAUCCAGAUAGAUUGGCUGCAUCCGUCAAAGCGCCUCUGAAGCUCUGCACUUUUUCCAACGUCAGAGCUUUAUUCCUUAUAAGUCUAGCAAAUGCACCCCCAAAGCUACCUGUUUGAUUUCUUACAUGGGAUGGAUCCACCUGGUAGAAUACCGGAAUAACUAUCUGUCCAUUAUUUUUUCUACGUUCAAAAAUCUUAGCAAGCUCCUCCAAGCACCAUUUGGAAGAUGCAUAGUUUCCAGUAAAAACAAUCACAGAAAGCUUGGCCUCUUCAAUUGUUCUCAGAAGUGAUGCCGAAAUCUCGUCUCCUCUCCGAAGCUGAUAAUCUAUGAAAGUUAGGAUUUGUUUCCGGUCCAAAGCAGCAUAGAGGUGGCUGGUAAAACCAACACGAGUGUCUUCUCCCCUGAAACUAAGGAAGACAUCAUAUUUAAUUACUUGUGGUUGGGCGGUGGUUAAGGUGGAAUGAGUAGAUGGCGAUGGAGAUAUAUGACGGUGUCGUAUGAUGAAUCUCCAGAUAUAAACAAACAAAAAGAUAGAGAGAAAUAAGAAAAACACCGCCAUUGUUUUGUGGAGAAACAGUCGCGGAAACGAGAGGAAGACUCUGGAGGCAGGGUAAGUCUGGAGGGAAAGAACGGAAGUAACACCACAAGGAUAAAAGAUGAGGCUGAUUUGAAUCAGUAGCUUAGGCUUUACGUGUUUAAGACGCAUAUGUAUAAUUGUAAUAAUGGGGGUUUCAAAUCCAAGUAUUUUAUCAUGCACAGAGGGUGCACAGAGUUGUCUUACACCCAGAGGAUUUCUUUAUAUUUGUUUUUAUGUUUUAAAAGUUGUUUUAAAAAAAGUUAAAAAUUAUUUGUAUUUUUUAUUUGUUUGGUAACCGGUACUUUGACCGGGCCUGUAGCAGUCAAAUACUAGAUCCGCAAUUGGCGCCGUAACAUUCGCUUUGCCGGCCAAGUAAACGUGCGAACUGAAACACCCUAAUGUUCAACUGGAAAUGAAAACUAUUAAAUAAAUUAGGAGGGGCAAGAACAAAGCUGUGUUGUGUCGAGAAAUGGGCGCCAACCCAUUUAAUAUUCUUGUUGCUCGGUUAUGCUAUCAUCUUCUCAAGAAAUGUGUUUUUAAAAUAAUAGUUUUAAUUUAAAAAUGUAUUAAAAUAAUAGUUUUUAUUUUUAAAAAUUUAUUUUUAAAAUUAAGAGAUUUAAAUGAUGUAAAAAUACAAAAAAAAAAAUUAAAAAUUAAAAAAAUUCAAAUCUAAAUAUUUUCUCACAACAGUACAGAGGGUGCAUAUUAUUGACUUUCUGUAAAUUUUCCAUGUACAAAAGGCUUCAAGUAUUUUAGAGUUAUUUGUCUUUAUAGCAUAAACAGUGUUUUUAUUUUUUUAUAGCUUUCUGUAAAUUUUCCAUGUACAAAAGGCUUCAAGUAUUUUAGAGCUAUUUGUCUUCAAGUAUUUGUCUUUAUAGCUAUUUGUCUUUAUAGCAUAAACAGUGGCACCAAAAUAACUAGCAGCAUUCCAAGGAAUCUGCACAAUUAAAACGAAUGACUCCAUUUUGAUGUGAUCUUAUGCAGAAAGCACCAGCAAAAUCAUCGGUGCAGAUGAUUUCACCCCUGCAAUCCAAUUUUUUAAAUCAUAAAUACAUGACAUGCUAUAAAAAUAAAUAAAUUAAAAACUUUAUCCAUUUAAUUUGAUUAAGAAAAUCAUCCUACAACUAUUUUACAUUUAUUUAAAGCAAGUUACAAGACAUACAUAAACUCUUUUGUAAAAUUGCAGGUCUCCAUUCGGCCAGCCCAGCACUAGAGGAUGGUGAGAAUUGAGAAGAGUCACAACAACUCGGACACCAAAUAGAAAAUUACAAAGAAUUGAAGGGGUUAUGGCUAAUUCCACAAAAAUAAAGAGCCACCGCAAGAAAAUAAUACUAUAAAAGAAUCAACUUAAAAAAAUUGAUCCCUCGCACAUAUAUUAAACUUGGUGGACUCUUGACGGAUUAGUUGGGGACUUCUUGACUCAAAAUGUAAUUUGGGCUGGAUUGUUUUUUUCAAAUCAAAAUCAAUGUUAAUCUGGUAAAAUUAGAGUUAAUUUUUUAAAAAAAUUUAAUUAAUAGAAACAAUAAAACAUGUUACCAAAAUACUAUAGAGAAUACUAUGCAUAAAGACUAAAAAAACUAUUCAUUGCGACACUUUAAUUACAUUUUUCCCCUUCUAAGAAGAAACCAAAACGCUUAUGAGUUAAGGGCAAUUCAAUCUUUUCGUAUUGGUCAGUUAAUUAUUUCACCGGGAAACAUAUAUGUAACCAGAAGCUUUUGAAUUAUGGGCAAUUUUUUGACUAGGACAUAUGGGACUUUUUUAAUUUUUUAUACGUAGUCAAAUGAUUUUUUUAAUCUGCAUAUAAAAAAAACUAAUGUUAUUUGUUGCGGGGGUCGAGCGCCGUGAUGUCAUCUGGCGACGGCGGAGGCUCUUGACGUGCCUCCCGGGUGAGGUGUUGUGUGUUGGAAAGGGUCUUGGAUUUAAUCAUAAAAUAAUGAUUAAUGUUUUAGGAGUCGCCACCUAGUAUUAUGGUUAUUAGGAACCUAUGGUUUGCGAAAGUCUGGGUAAGGGACUGGUUGUGGAAGGGGAAGACGCAUCACCCCAGGGCACCCUACCUAAGGUAAGCUGCAUUGUUGUUUGAUUUUUUUUCUAAGUCGGGUUCUAUUCGUUGGUCUUGUCUAAGGCUCAAGGUAGAUCUAUCUUCAUGAGAAAAUCUCUACCCUAUCGGGUUAAAUUCUAACCGUUCUAAACUCUGAAUUUUAGCAUCGUAUUUUUACACCUUGUGUCUUUAAUACUUGAGGGUGUAUUUUAUCGUGUAAUUUUACACCCUACAAAUAUUAAAGUCUAUAUCUGGAUCCUAAAAAAGAUUGGAAAAAGAUUUUUGAUAUUUUGACCAAAUACUAAUGAAUGAUCAUAAACUGGUUAUGAUAUCCAUUUUUGGAUUUUCAAAACAUGAGAAAGAUGCAAUCUUUUAAUGAAAAUAUGCUUGGAAAAUUUUUAGGAUUUGGUCGUAUGCAUGAAAAUAAAAAAUAUUUUUUUAAGGGAAAUUUGAUUUAAAAGUUUUUGAGAUUUUUUUUUGAAAAUGUUUUGAAUUUGUUUUUGAAAUAUUUCGAAGAAAACCGAGUAUUUUAAUACUAGAUUUGUAUUUUACAGUGUAAAUAUACAACCCGAUAUUAUGCAAAAUUAGUAGAAAAAUAUUUAAGAAAAUCACAAAUUUUUUGAAAUGAUUUUUGAAAAUUUUUGGAUUUUUUUUUGUAAAGAAAUAUAUAUAUAAUUAUAUUAAAUAAAUAUUAUUAAAACAUGGGGGCUAGGGCGGCCCAGAUGACUGGGCCAAGCCCAGGAACUUUUGGUUGGGCCGAUCUCGGCCCAACAGAUCCUUUUCUUUUCUUUUUCGGGCCAGGCCCAAAUGGUCCAGCCCAGACCAGCAUGGUUGUUGGCCCGACCCAACAACCAUGCAAAUUAAUAAGGCUACAUGCAGAACGAGAAUUCGUUCUGCAUGUAGCAACUUAGUUACAGUGAUAACGGGGUGGUGCUACCUGACGCUGAAGUGCCUAGAUGGAGGCCUGGCUGGUCUAGAUGGGGAGAGGCCGACGUGAGGACGGUGGCUGAGGCUGUAGCAGAGAUGGUGGCCGGUGGCGGAGGCUGUAGCAGAGAUGGUGGCCGGUGGCGGAGGAAGCAAAAGAAGAAGGAGAAAAUAGGAGGGUGUCUAGAGAGGACAGAGAAACCGACGGUGGCUCUUGGUGUUCAGUUGGUGGUUGUGUUAGCUUCCUAUGAUGGAGCUGAUGGUUUGUGGAAUAGAAAAGAGCACUAGUAACACCAUUUAAGGGAAAUUGUUACCUUAAAAGAUAUGGUGAUAAAAUAAAGGAUUGGAUAUCCUAAAUAAUGAUGAGCCGAUACAUUUAGGAUGUGAAUUCAAUAUUGAACUUUUUUUUAUAUUUUUAAAGGAAUUUUUUUAAAAAUAAAAUUCCCUUACAAUCUAUUUUUAGUCUUAACUAGGCUCGAUGCUCGCACUUUGAGAUAAGGCUGGACUAUUUUAUUUUUUUUGUACAAAAAAUAAUAUUUAGGUGCCACAAACAUGUUUUUAGAAAGAAAAAUAAAAUCUAUAGCUCGGAUCAUAAACCCAAUUAGGUUAAAUAAGUUGAGUUUAUUUUAAUUAGAAAAAAAAUGAUAGUAGAUGAAUCAAAUUUAAAAACAAAAAUGAUCAUGAUUGUUGUUACCCAAUUUUUGACCCACCUUUUUGAUAAAAUUUUCGGAAAAUUCAAAAAUAGCAAAAAACAACAAAAAUCCAAAAAAAAUAUGUUUUUAAUAUAUUUACAUCGUUUUUAGCAUUUUCAAUGUCGUUUAAAAAAAUUAAUUUUCAAAAGAUUUUUGAACGCGUCCGACUUUUCAUGCGUCAUUUUUAAAAUCAUUGAUUUUCCUCAUUGAGUCGACGUUGAUAUUGCUCGUUUUCAAAAAAUACAAAAAAAUUAAGAAAGAAUCAAAUUUACAAAAAGAAAGAAGUUGAGGGACCAGUUUUGAGCUCCUGACAACAUUUUACCUAUAAAUAUAGGUUUAAAACUCAAAAGAAAGGAGGGGGGUAAUUUUUCCUCCCCUCACGAGGAGGCAGCCGCCAGCCCCUCCGCACCUCCCCUUUUGAUUUUUUUUUCUCUUCUCCCUCAACCGGCGCAACCCCCUUCCCCGGCUGAUAUUUUUCUUUUUUCCUCACCCCAGCCUCAACCACUCCAGCCUCCCAGCCGUUGGGCAAUCCAGAGGUGUCCAAGCCUUUGCAUUUUCCUUCUCUUCCCCCCGAUAUGUCCUUCCUUCUCUCCUGAACCGGCCGACCGCUACCACCUUCUCCUCCUCUCAACAGCAGCGCCUCCAUCGAAACCACAGACCGAGCGCCCACCGAAGCCAACCGCUGCUCACCCUCUUCCUUCUCUCAUCUUCCCUGCUCAACAGCUGCUCUCUUCUCCAUAACGAAGUCAGCCGAACGGACGACAACAACAAGAGCCCCACAGACGACAACAGCAACAAGGUCAUCCGCCGCCACCACCAACAGGAGUGAAGGCCAUCUUCACCGUCAGCCGUAACAGCUCUAUCCUCACCAAAUCUUCACCUCCUUCAAUCGGCCUCACCAGAAAUCGAACAGACCGAGAGGGGAGAGAACAAGAGUGAAACAAAUUUGAGAAGGGAGAAGACCCGAAUGAACUAGAUCUGAGAAGGAGAAAAGAAAACUAAAAUCGACUGCUUUGUUGUGUUUUUUUGGUGUUUAUGCAGGUCACCGCCGGCGAGAAAGAAGCGAGGAAGCCAUUUUUGGAUCUCCCCUGUUGGCUGGAUUUUUACGAUGACGCGUGAACCCACGUACCGCCAAUGGUGGUGGCGUGCCGCCACUGUUCAUACGGUUGCAGAUGGCCUUCCCUGCAAAUUUUGGAGUUUUAGGGACCAUUUUGUAAUUUUUAAAUUAUGUAAUGUAAUUUUUGUUUAGUGUUGAAUUUUUAUAUAUAUAAUUUGUAAUGUGGAUGUACAAAAAGAAAAGAACAAAACAAAAAAAAGAAAGAAAAGAAAAAAAGAAAAGUAUAGUGAAAAGGAAAUGUGUGAUUUGUAUUUUAUUUAUGAAUGUUUUUUUUUGUAUGAUAAAAUUGCAAGAAUAAAGAAGAAUUUAAUAUUUUGAUUUGCUCACGGAUAAAGAAUUAUGAACUUACACGUAAGUGUAUUUCUAAAAUUCGAUGAAAGAACAUAAUUUUAAAAAUUUCUUUAACACAUCAAGUCUACGAAGCAGCUUACCUCAGGUAGGGUGCGUUAGGGGUGCUAAUACCUUCCCUAACCACAAUCAGUCCUUUACCCGUGAAUCUCUGACGAGACCAGUACACUCGGGUUUCCUAGUAGCCUUCAAUGAAAUACUAGGUGGCGACUCCAACGAACCAAGCAAAGCAAAGAGAAAGAGACAAAAAGUCGCCAAGCCCGAUGCCGCGUGGAUUUUUUGACGUGCGACAGAAUGGCGACUCCGCUGGGAAAGGUAUUGUUUUCAACAUUAUUGGACUAAGCUUUGUGUAUUUGAUGAUUUUGCAUUUUUGUCUUAUUUUAUUUUUGUUUUAUCCAUGCAUUUUGUAGAAUUGUCUCAUGCAUCACAUAUUGUAAUUUUUUAAAGCACACACAAGCUUCAGGUUAGGAGGGGAACUAGCAGCUUACCUUAUGACUUUUAGUCAAGGUUUAAGUUUGUGUAAACCCCAACUCUUCGUUGAGUGCUUAGACUGGUAAUAGUUGGACAUGUGCCAUCUCAUUGCCUACAAGCCCCUAUAUUGCCUUCAAGAGGGUAAUCACUAGGACAACGAUAGACCCUUUUUAGAGACCAAGUAGUAAACCUACCUUUUGUCUCACUUAAAAAGAUUAGAACCUGCCUUUAGGAUGUAUGCUCCGUAUACAUUGUUUUGUAUCCGAGCAAGCCCUUCUUGAAGCAUCUUGAACUCCAGACUUAUGGGUGACACAAUGACCGUCGCUCAGAAAAUUUUCAUUGUAGAGUUUGUGCAAGAAUCAAGAUUCUUGUUUCAUCAUACAAGAGUUGCGACCAUAUGUCACCCCUCGAAGGGCGAGUUUGUCAUAUAGAUUACAUAUUCAUACAUUUAUCAUGCAUGUACCGGGUUGAAAGGUAGGUCCACCGCACAAGCUAUGCUGCAAGUGAUUGAAGAAAGGAUGGAAGUGAAGAAAGGUGUCAGAUAGAGGCUCAUUAUCAGAUUAAGGUUGAGAGCAUCAAAGGUGAAGUAGCUAGACUCAGAUUUGCUCGAACAAGUGUUGAGCAUCAAAUGGAAAGAGAAUGUCUGCACAGUUAUCUGUGGGAACACUGCUUGUUCACGUCCAAAUGAAGUUGUACCUCUCUUUUUCAGUCAUGAACAACAACAACAAUGCCUUCAGUCAUCAACUAAUGACAACUCUGGUUCUUGUCCAGUUGCACUGUUAAGUGUUCAUCACCUCCACAUCAUCUAAUGGAACCAAACGACUACUAGCCUCCUGUACAUGGUGCAUUAGUCUUCUUUGAAGUUACCCCAAUUAUGAGCUCAAUUCCAGUUCAGCAGCACAAGAUGUUGGUCUGAAAAACCAUGAUUAGACACUGAACUUCUACGUGGUAGAGCUCUCUCUAUAGAGAUUUAUUGGUGGAUCUGCCAAUGGAAAAUGCAAGAGAGGAUUUACUAAUUGCAUAUGCUACAAAUAUUUCUCUCAUCAGUUUCAGCACGAAGAAACUGUAGCAGGUUGAAGAGCCAGACUUGGUUUGAAAAACAUGAGCAUACAUCAAACUUCAAUGUAGCAGAGAUCUCUCGACAGGAAUCUGUUUGUGGAUAUGCAAGUGGGAAAUCCAAGAAGGGAUGCAGUGGUUUCAGAUUGUCCAUAAUUGUUUCCUUCUAGUAUUGGCUUUAAAACACAAAAGUGGUUGUUUGCUGCACCGUCAGUGAGGAAUCAAAGAGGAAAAAGAAGAUGUUGUAGAUUCAUCGGGUUCUGUUCUAAUUUUGACAAUAUGUGAUUCCAUACAUUUUGUUUUUGCAUACUGCCAGGAUUACCUAGAUAUUGAGAGGUUUCCAACAAUCCUAAAACAACAACAACAAUAUUGGAAGAUUGACAUGAAGUUGUGUGGAUUGCCAAAAAAAAUUGAACAAGCUAUCAAGAUGGGAAAGAUUGAAGGUUCUGCCAAGGAUUCUAGAGAAACGAUGAGAGAUGAAUCAGAAGACGACUCUGAAGGUGGGAAACCUUAAUUAUAUGGUCUUGCCAAGUCUCGUUGUAUCAUCGACCACUCCAAUGUCUUUGCCAAAGAUAGACAUUCAUUUACCAUAUGGUAUAAUCCUGACAAGAGAUGUGAUGUGAUGGUGUGGUCCUCGACCAUUUCAAUGGAAUAGUUGCAAGAAUUUCAAUUGAACAGUUGUCAUGUGAGUUUAUUUGCCAGCAUCUGCUAGAUUCCAGACUUUUACCUGACUCUGAAAAAUCCCAUGCAACCACCAUUUUCUAGGUGGUUUAAUCCAAACAAGAGAUGUGAUGUCAUGGUGGGGUCCUCAACCAUUUCAAUUGAGCAAUUGCAAGAAUUUCAAGAAGCGAGUCUGAAAGUUGGUGAGCAAGGGACAAGUGGAGUCUGUAAAGGAGGGUGUCAUUGGCUAUAUUGUCCCCCGAACAUCUUCAAAAUGACAUGUGAUCGAAAGUGCUUGGCAAAACACAGAUAUAGCCAGAAUAGCUUAUUCAAGAAUGGUGAUCAACUGUCAAUCAUAUUGUUAUGGAAUUUUGCAUUUUUGUUUUGAGAUCACAUCUUAUCCUUCAACGAAACAUGUCUUGCUUUUGUCUCUUUGUUGUUUUGAAAUCAACAGAUGUUUUCUGACAAAAUAUUUUGAUCAAACUCCAACAUGCGAUAAAGGUUAAUCAAUCCGGAAGAUUAAAAGUGUUUUGAUUACAGAAAUGACUCGAUGCUUGAAAAUGACAUGAGGUGACUAAACAAUUUUGAACUCAUACCUCCUGAAACUGAACCACACAUCAUAUAGCUAAGUUUAGCAGUAUGCAUAAUGACAUGUAGUGGAUUCGGUAGUUAUGGACUCGUGAAUCAUGAUUCUUACAAGUCCUAAUCAUUACACUAGAUGGGGUCAAAAUUUAUCGGUUCUAACCUACCUUGCUUGAAAUGAGAAAAGGUCAUCUUUGAUAUCCCUUCACUUUCUAAAGAUUAUAUCCCUUGUAGUCCCAUUUUUGAGCUGGAUAGAAUAUUCUUUUCAUAAAAACCCUGACUAGGAUCACACCCCACACUGGGGGCAGAUGAGAGAUAUGUUGGAGACAUUGAUAUAAUUAAUGGAUAAAGGGGAAGGCUUAGAACAAAAGUCCAAUGAUUGAGAGAGAGCUAAAAGAAAACACAUAGACUAGGGGCAUAUAAGAAAGUUUUGAGGAAGGCUAGGAGAAAAAAAAAAGAGAAUGAAAAAAAAAAAGUUAAAAUUGCCUUCACUUAAAGACAAGUCAAAGAUAAAGGAAGGAGAAUGCCUAUCACGUCUAUAAAGAGCAAAAGAAAUUUCAAUCAAGGAAAGACACAACAAAAGUCAAUACCAGAAAAAACACUAAGCUAUAAACGUGACUUUUGGUAUCCAUUAUAAAGCCUAUGAUGUUAUCAGAUGAUUAAGGUUGGUUAUUCAUCAAGGAAAGGUGGAUUUGCAUUAUAACUUAUGUUAAGAAAAGUCUGAUAUUUGAUGUUAACAAGGUUAUAUGUCGUUUCCUCUACAAAGACAACAAUAGAAAAGAGUUGAUGAAUAGUUGAUGUUGAUCCUAGGUCUUUGAAACCCUCAAACACCUUUUGAGCCUUUGAAAUUCUUUUCUUUCAUAGCCAUGAACCAUAGCCUGCAUUACGUGCUUUUAAAAGCCCUUUUUAAUCAAGCAAGCAAUUUGAACCGAUAAAUGGCGCUCUCAAAACUUGAAGAGUUUUUCCAUAAGAUUCGUGGCUUCAUGAAUUAAGCUACUAGUUAUUAUACAUGCUGAUAAAAUUGGUGCUAAAAAAAAAAAGAAAACAAUCUUUCUUGAUGAAUCCUCAAGUUUUGACUUAAGCUUUUUGUUCACAGAAGGUCACCUCAUCGUAGACCAUCAAAAGAUUUACCCAAGACCAAAGAUUAAAACUGACAUAAAGAACCAUGGAAAAAAAGCCAUUUUUAUCCUACAUUGGGUCAAUUUCUGUUUUCAAAAUCAUAACAAUCAAAGGAAUGUCUAUUUCGAAUAACAUGUGUUGGGUCUUUAAUCAAAAAGCUUGAUUUUCAAAAGGUCUUUUCAAAAAAGGACAUCUCUGAUUUCAUUUCAACAAAUUAGACUUUGAACAGACAUGAUCGUUGAAAUAUGAGAGUUGAUUCCAAAACAAGGAAGAUUAUCGGACACAAAAGAACAUCGAUUGAGUCUCCAAAAUCCUUGAUAGAAAUGACAUUGAAGUCCUCGACACUCCUUGAGAAGUUGAGCAGCUGAGGGCAAUACAGAGGACCCUGAAAAGGAAAACAAGAAGUAUUCAGAUCAGAUGAGGCAAUGAAGGAUGAUUAAAUGAUGAAUCAGUGAACUGAAGACAAUGAUGUUCAAAGAAAGAUAAUCAAUGAACGAGCACAUUCAGAUCAUACUUGGGGCAAUGUCGUUCCAAAAUGGCCCAUGCUCUAGUGAACCCUAUCGGCAAUGGAGAAACAAAGAUCUACUUGAAGGACAUCUUCACAUCAUCAUCUUUUGAAAUAUGGUCAGCGAUCGAUGAGGAUACAUGAUUGAAUGUAAUUGAAUGGUGAAAAGAUGCACACCACCAAGACUGACUGUGGAACAAUGCUGCACUCGAAGGAAAAUUUCAUAUUGUCAUCCUUUGAAACAUGGUUAUCGACAAACGUUAUCACACAAAUGCAUUGAAUGAAUGUUGGAAAGGCACCCACCUCGAAGACUGCCUGUGGCGCAAUUUGUUUUGAAGCCAAAGGCGCACUUCACCGCAUGAGUAUGGGUGAUAAAAGCAACAUCACUGAUGAGGCCGAGAGAUUUCUUUUCACAAUCUGAUUAGAAGAGUUGAAGGGAAUCUAUUGAGAAGAGCACUGAGCAUACAACCAUGAGCAUUUGUACUACAAGCUAUGAGAUGCAUGUCUGGACGACUGGAUGAUUUUCAAGAAGGUUAAUGAUAACAUGUACUUGAAGAGUACUGUUUGAACUAGAGGCAAAUUCAUGACUGAUUGACAAUUUUAAUGGGCAUUGACACGAUGCACAUAUUCAAUCAAAGAACAAUUCUCGGAAGAAUCCAGGAGAUAAGCUCAUUCAUGGAAUCAAGCUACAUCACACAUGGAAGCAUGGUCAAGCUUGAGAAGCAAUAAGAGCAGUAAAAGAAAGCUUUGAAUAACAAACAAAGGUGUUGUGAUGAUGGAACAUCGAAGAAGGGGGACCUAGAUUUCAAAUCAGGUAAGGAUGCAUGCAUGUCAUCUAACAUCGAAGCAUUGCAUAUAUCUUUGGUUUGGUGCAGGAAAAAUUCUUGUUUGUUCCAGCAAGAUUGGGGACAAAGAAAGAAUUGUUGAUUUGAAGAACAACAAAGAAUCAUGGUGUUGACCCUGGAACGGGAGGAAGAUGAGAUAAACCCUAACAUUAGGGAAAUCUCAAAGAAAUAAGAAGAUCAACGAAGAAGAGUCUUCAAUUCAAACCCUAUCAUCUUGAAGAAGGAAUAUAUUUUUUGGUUAAAGGAGAUUGCCAGAAGGAAUCUCAGGUUAACCACAACAUGAAGAUUUUAGCUUUGGUUGAAGGGAGUCGCUAGGUGGGAUUCCAGGUUGACCUAGCUACACACAGAUUUUGGUUCCGGUUGAAGGGGAUUGGCGAGGGGAUCUCAGUUUAGCCCAACCACAAAGAUUUUGGCUCUAGUUAAAGGAGAUUGGCGAAGGGAUCUCAGUUUAGCCUAGCCACGAAGAGACUUUGGUUAUGGUUAAAGGGGAUCGGUGAAGGGAUCUUAGUUUAACCUAACUGCAAAGGGUUUUGGUUCUAGUUCAAGGGGAUCGGCGAAGGGAUCUCAGUUCAACUUAACCACAUAUAUUUUGGUUCUAGUUAAAGGGGAUCGGCGAAGGGAUCUCAGUUUAGCUUAACCACACACAAACUUUGGUUAUGGUUAAAGGGGAUCGACGAAGGGAUCUCAGUUUAACCUAACUGCAAAGGAUUUUGGUUCUAGUUGAAGGGGAUCGGCGAAUGGAUCUCAGUUCAGCCCAUCCACAAAGAUUUUGGCUCUAGUUAAAGGGGAUCGGCGAAGGGAUAUCAAUUUAGCCUAGCCACGAAGAGACUUUGGUUAUGGUUAAAGGGGAUCGGCGAAGGGAUCUCAGUUUAACCUAACUACAAAUGAUUUUGGUUCUAGUUAAAGGGGAUCGGCGAAGGGAUCUCAAUUCAGCUUAACCACACAAAUUUUGGUUCUAGGUAAAGGGGAUCGGCGGAGGGAUCUCAGUUUAGCUUAACCACACACAGACUUUGGUUCUGGUUAAAGAGGAUCAGUGAAGGGAUCUCAGUUUAGCCUAACUGCAAAGGAUUUUGGCUCUAGUUAAAGGGGAUCUGCGAAGGGAUCUCAAUUUAGCCUAGCCACAAAGAGAUUUUGGUUAUGGUUAAAGGGGAUCGGAGAAGGGGUCUCAGUUUAGCCCAACCGCAAAAGAUUUUAGUUCUGGUUGAAGGGAUCGGCGAAGGGAUCUCAGUUCAGCCCAACCACAUAGAUUUUGGUUCUGUUUGAAGGGGAUCGGCAAAGGGGUCUCAGUUCAGCCCAACCACAUAGAUUUUGGUUCUGGUUAAAGGGGAUCGGCGAAGGGAUCUUAGUUUAGCCUAGCCACGAAUAGACUUUGGUUAUGGUUAAAGGGGAUCGGUGAAGGGAUCUCAGUUUAACCUAACUGCAAAGGAUUUUGGUUCUGGUUAAAGGGGAUCGACGAAGGGGUCUUAGUUUAGCUUAACCACACACAUGAUUUUGGUUCUGGUUAAAAGGAUCGGCGAAGGGAUCUUAGUUUAGCCUAACCACACAUAAUUUAGCUUUGGUUAAAGGGAAUCGCUAGAUGGGAUUUCAGGUUAACCGAGCCACACAUCGAUUUUUGUUCUUGUUAGAUCGCCAGAUAGGAUCUCAGGUAAACCUAAUCAAAAGGGCAGGUCUUCCGUGAAAAUAGACCACUUUGAGUAUGUGUGGGCAGGUCGCCCAUGAAAAUAGACUAGUGUGAAAGUGUGGGUCGGUCACCCCUGAAAAUAGACUAGAGUGAGUAUGUGUGGGCAGGUCGCCCCUGGAAAUAGACCAGAGUGAGUAUGUGUGGGCAGGUCGCCCCUGAAAAUAGACCAGAGUGAGUAUAUGUGGGCAGGUCGCCCGUGAAAAUAGACUAGUGUGAGAGUCUGAGUAGGUCGCCCCUGAAAAUAGACCAUAGUGAGUAUGUGUGGGCAGGUUGCCCGUUAAAAUAGACCAGCGUGAGUGUGUGGGCAGGUCGCCCCUGAAAAUAGACCAAAGUGAGUAUGUGUGGGCAGGUCACCCGGAAAAUAGACCAGUGGGAGAGUGUGGGUCGGUCGCCCUUGAAAAUAGACCAGAGUGAGUAUGCGUGGGCAGGUCGCCCGUGAAAAUAGACCAGUGCGAGAGUGUGGGCUGGUCGCCCCUGAAAAUAGACCACUUUGAGUAUGUGUGGGCAGGUCGCCCGUGAAAAUAGACUAGUGUAAGUGUGUGGGCAGGUCGCUCUUGAAAAUAGACCAGUGUGAGUAUGUGGGCAGGUCACCCCUGAAAAUAGACCACUUUGAGUAUGUGUGGGCAGGUCCCGUGAAAAUUGACCAGUGUGAGUGUGUGGGCCGGUCGCCCUUGAAAAUAGACCACUUUGAGUAUAUAUGGGCAGGUCACCCGUGAAGAUAGACCACUUUGAGUACUGAGGGCAGGUCGCCUGUGAAAACAGACUACUUUGUGAGUAUGUGGGCAGGUCGCCGGUGAAAAUAGAUCAGUAUGAGUGUGUGGGCCUGUCGCCCCUGAAAAUAGACUACUUUGAGUAUGUGUGGGCAGGUCGCCCGUGAAAAUAGACCAGUGUGAGUGUGUGGGCAAGUCGUCCAAGAUAAUGAAAUCAUUUUCCUUUUGUUUUCUUUACAAAGCUUACUAUGCAAAAUAUUGAGGAGUUUUGCUUCAUAAGCAUUGUAAAGAGGGGGCAACUGUUAUUACCCAAUUUUGACCCACCUUUUUGAUAAAAUUUUCAGAAAAUUCAAAAAUAGCGAAAACAACAAAAAUCCAAAAAAAAUAUGUUUUUAAUAUAUUUGCAUCGUUUUUAGCAUUUUCAAUGUCGUUUUUAAAAAAAUUAAUUUUCAAAAGAUUUUUGAACGCGUCCGACUUUUCAUGCGUCAUUUUUAAAAUCAUUGAUUUUCCUCAUUGAGUCGACGUUGAUAUUGCUCGUUUUCAAAAAAUACAAAAAAAUUAAGAAAGAAUCAAAUUUACAAAAAGAAAGAAGUUGAGGGACCAGUUUUGAGCCCCUGACAACAUUUUACCUAUAAAUAUAGGUUCAAAACUCAAAAGAAAGGAGGGGGUAAUUUUGAGAAAUGAGGGGGAGAGGCCACACAAGAAGAAACCCUAAAAGCCUUCUUUUUUCUCCCCUCACGAGGAGGCAGCCGCCAGCCCCUCCACACCUCCCCUUUUGAUUUUUUUUCUCUUCUCCCUCAACCGGCGCAGCCCCCUUCCCCGCUGAUAUUUUUUUUUUCCUCUCCCCAGCCUCAACCACUCCAGCUGCCCAGCCGUUGGGCAAACCAGCAGGUGUCCAAGCCUUUGCAUUUUCCUUCUCUUCCCCCCGAUCUGUCCUUCCUUCUCUCCUGAACCGGCCGGCCGCUACCACCUUCUCCUCCUCUCAACAGCGCCUCCACCGAAACCACAGACCGAGCGCCCACCGAAGCCAACCGCUGCUCACCCUCUUCCUUCUCUCAGCUUCCCUGCUCAACAACUGCUCUCUUCUCCAUAAUGAAGUCAGUCGAACGGACGACAGCAGCAAGAGCCCCACAGACGACAAAAACAGCAAGGUCAUCCGCCGCCGCCACCAACAGGAGUGAAGGCCAUCUUCACCGUCAGCCGUAGCAGCUCCAUCCUCACCAGAUCUUCACCUCCUUCAACCGGCCUCACCAGAAAUCAAACGGACCGAGAGGGGAGAGAACAUGAGUGAAACAAAUUUAAGAAGGGAGAAGACCCAAAUGAACUAGUUUUGAGAAGGAGAAAAGAAAACUAAAAUCGACUGCUUUGUUGUGUUUUUUUGGUGUUUAUGCAGGUCACCGCCGGCGAGAAAGAAGGGAGGAAGCCAUUUUUCGGAUCUCCCCUCUGGCUGGAUUUUUACGGCGGCGCGUGGGGAGACGCGCCGCCACUGUUCAUACGGUUGCAGAUGGCCUUCCCUGCAAAUUCUAGAGUUUUAGGGACCAUUUUGUAUUUUUUAAAUUAUGUAAUGUAAUUUUUGUUUAGUGUUGAAUUUUUUUUAUAUAAUUUGUAAUGUGGAUGUACAAAAAAAAAGAACAAAAAAAAAAAAAAAAAAAACAAAAAGUAUAGUGAAAAAGAAAUGUGUGAUUUGUAUUUUAUUUAUGAAUGUAUUUUUUGUAUGAUAAAAUUGCAAGAAUAAAGAAGAUUUUAAUAUUUUGAUUUGCUCAUGGACAAAGAAUUAUGAACUUACACAUAAGUUGUAUUUCUAAAAUUCGAUGAAAGAAAAGAAUUUUUAAAAUUUCUUUAACACAUCAAGUCUACGAAGCAGCUUACCUUAGGUAGGGUGCGUUAGGGGUGCUAAUACCUUCCCUAACCACAACCAGUCCUUUACCCCUGAAUCUCUGACGAGACCACUACACCCGGGUUUCCUAGUAGCCUUCAAUGAAAUAUUAGGUGGUGACUCCAACGAACCAAGCAAAGCAAAACGAGAAAGAGACAAAAAGUCACCAAGCCAGAUGUUGCACGGAUUUUUUGACGUGCGACAAUGAUAACUUGAAAAAAUAUGUUUUUUUCAAAAGGGAGCAAAUAAUACAACUCAGUUCAUAACCUAAUAAAUACAAAAGAACAAAAUUGGAUAAAAAAAUAACAUAAAAAAUACGGUCCUAGUUAAUCGAGUUAGCAUAACAAGAUUGUAACCUUAGUAAUUAGGGUGGAGCCAACUCAGGAUAUUUCACUAAACUCAUGACGUAGGUCAUGAAAACUAUAAAAACCAAAUAAAAAAAAUAAAGAGAAUCAUAAAUCUCAUUUUUUUGAAAAAAUUAUCAGCUCGCGUUAACUUUUGGAUCAUUAAAUGUAAAAAGCCAGUUAUAAGCUAACCCGACCAAAAUAAAAUGAAAUAAUAAUAAUAAUAAUAAUAAUGAUAUAAAAAAACUUGAAUAAAUAAAUAAGCAUCGAGAGGGACAAAAUUAAACAAAAAACAAAAGAGUGAUAAGACAUUAAUUUAUUUAGAAGGAAAGGAUGGGGAUAAAUUUGGAAAAAGCUAAACAAAAAGGGAUCAAUGUGCAAAAUUUAAAAGAUGAGACUAUAUAAAUGCCUAAUUUUUCUUCUCUUGGCCAAUGGCUAGAAACCAUAAGAGAUGGAGAGAAUUUGUGUGAUUUUUCUUUUUUUUUUUUCUUGCUCAAUAUAUAUAUAUAAAUUUAAAAGAGGAAAAAGUGUAAUUAGAACUUAGUUAAACAAUUAAAAGGGGUGAUUUAGUUCUUGGAAGUUAUUUUAAAAAAUGAAAUCCAAAGCUAGAGUUUAAAAAGGGAGGAGAAGGGAAUUUAAAUCUUUCUUCCAUCCAUUCCUUGAAUUGCUAUCCAAGUAAGUUAAAGAACAUGUUUAAAAUUAUUAAUUGUUAUAAUCUUAUGUUUUGAUGAAGAAAUUAAAUUGUUAUGAUUAUGUGAAAUGGAUGAUAUAUGGUGUUUAUUAUUGAAAUGAUGCAAAUUAUGAUUAAAUCAUGUUAGAAAGUAGAAUUAUGAUUGGCUAAAUAUUUAAUUUAAAAAUAGAAAAACCAAAACUCUCUCCCCCUUAAUUAUUGGUCUCAACCAAAGGAGAAGAUUUGGGAGAUUGGGAAAUUUUAUACAAUUGUGAGAAUUUAUAGGAUUAUAAAUGUUAAUAGAUGGAAUGUAAAAGGAUUUUACAAAAAAAAAUAAAAAAUUCACCCUUUUCUUUGUUGGGGUUUCAACCAUGACAUAUAAAAAGAGAAAAAGGAUUUUGACUUGAAUUUUAUUAAUAUAAGAGAGUGAUUUUAGACGAAUCGAAUGGGUUGUUGAAGAAUUAAAAAGUUAAUUUCAAUGAAAGGUCGAAAAAAUAAAUUUAGAAGGAGCUGUACAUACCACGUAAAUGACGUGGAUGCCUCCCAUGCACCUAAAAAAACAUAUGAAGAAAUUUUUUUUUUUCAAAGUGCUUUUGAAAAGCAAAAAUAAAUAAGCUCUAAAAACCUAUUUAAUAUUAGGGUAGCGGUUGUUUUUCACUUGAAAAUAUAUCAAAAUAAUUUUUUUAUUAUUUUUUUAAAAUUUAUUUUUGAUACUAGCAUAUCAAAUAAUUUAAAACCUCUAAAAAAAAUUAAUUUGAAAUAAAAAAAUAAAAUAAAAAAUCAUUUUAAAAAAAAAUACUUAAAAAAAAAAAAUAAAAAAGGCUAUAAGCACCUCGUUUGACCAUGCGUCUUUAUGUUGUGAUUGUAUUAAUAGCACUUGAAAAAGUAUAGGUUGUUAUGGUGGGUUGGGCCUUUUUAGUAUAAAGCCCAACUUAAUUAAUGGAUCUUAAAAUAAAUGGCUUCUUAUAGUUGAGUAACUAUUCUUAAAACCCAUGAUCCAUCUAAGCCCAACUUAGUAGGGAUCAAACCCAAAGUUAUUACUGCUUAUAUAUAUUUGUUUACAGAAGAGAGAAAGUAAAUUAAUUACUACUGCUUUGUGUGAAGUUACAAGAAAUAUCUGGAAACACUAAUAUAAACAAUCUUUCCAAUGCAUAUAUUUUGAGUAAUUUUCUCAGCAUCUUUUAAAUAAACUUUAAUCUAUUUAACCAGUGCAACCCGUUACACGGUAUUGAAAAAGAUCAUGCUAUUAUUGGGAGAAGAUUAGAGUAAAUAGACACCAAAUUACAAAAUACUUUAUAUGAUGAAGAAGAGUAUUUUUCGAAUAAACUCUAUUUUUAACUAAAAUGGAUGGAGAUGAUCAACCUAAACCCAUAAAAAAAUAUUAUUACUGGUGUAUUUUGCCUAUUAAAUCAAUAAAAAUCAAUCAUAAAAACAAUAAAUAUUUUUUAAAAUUUCUUUUUUCCCCCAUAUCACAAACAUAAAAACCAUGGCAAUAUCAAUCAUGCAUGAAGGAGCGACUUGACUAUUGACCUCUUGUUUUUUUGCCCCACCCCCCAAAACAGAAAAAUCAAUUAUUAACCUAGAUAGAUAUUGAUGGUGUGAUCAUGCCGAAAAGGUAAAAUUAGGCCAUCAAUCUUUAUCAUAAAGUAGAUAUGCGGUAAUAUAAAUAAAUAUAAGCUGCUGGUCUUGGUUUCUAGAAGUGCGGUGCCCUAAUACAAUGAAAGAUCACUUUCCAGUUCAUUAAUUUUAUCUAGUUGUAUUCAUGGCUAUGGCAACCUCACUCCUUUUUCAAUCAUCGAUUAAGUGAUUAAAAUCAUAGUCAUAUGAUCAUAUCAUUACAAUUACAUGUAAAGACAAAUUAGUAUAUCAUCAAUCAGAGGUAAGAUAAAUAAUAUCAUCUUUUAGUUUUUUUAGGGUUUAAUUAAUCCAAGACAUGUUUGGAAGUAUGGUUACUAUUUUUUAAAAACAUUUCAUGCAAUACAUCAAAAUGAUAUUUUUUUAUUUUAAAAAAAUUAUUUUUAAGAUCAGUACAUCAAAACGAUGUAAAAUAUAUAUAAAAAAUUAAUUUUUAACAAAAAAAAAUAUUUUUAAAAACAUGGAUUAUUAUGACAUGCAAUUUGCAGCCAUUGAUUUUGGGUUGAUGGAGAGGAAUAUAUAUAUAUAUAUAUAAAACCUUUGAAAAGCAUGAAUAUAAAGAGUUUGAUGGAUAAUUUAUAAAUAUGAAAAAUAAUGAUAUAUAACUUCGUCAUUUAUAAAAUGAUGAUAAAUAAUGUCAUCAUUUUUUUUAGGGUUAAGUUUAAUUUAAUUUCUUGAUUAUUAUGUCGUGUAAUUUGCAACCAUUGAUUUAGGAUUAAUGGAGAGCAACAACCUAUUUUAACUUUGAAACAUAACCUUUAUUUUCCGCAUUAGAGUCUAUUUAAAAGCGUGAUAAAUAAAAUUAAGUGAAAGUUUAUUUUUACGUUAUAAUUUAUUUUUUAAAGUGUUUUUUAAAUUAUAUUUAACUUGAAAAAAUAUUUUUUUAGAUAUUUUUGAAUGAUUUUAAUAUGUUAAUAUAAAAAAUAUAAAAAAUUAAGAAACGUUAUUUUUAAAAAAUAUAUAAAUAUAUAUUUUUUAAUUUGAUCGAGUAUGCGACUAUCCUUAUCGAAAUUAGAAAAAUCAUGAGAAUUUUACUUGAUGUGUAUCUUGUUUUGAAAUUUGAAUCAUGGUGAUAAAGAAGGAGAUUAUAUUUACAAGCAAAGCAAUGUAUUAAUUACAAAUAGUUAGGUGUCAGAUCCAUAGAUUCAAAUCAGCAGCCUUGAAGAAUGAGAAGUGUUCAUAAAUUUAGAUAAAUGCAGUGAUGACACUCUUAGAAAUUUUGGAGUAGAUCCAAAAUGGGAUUUCAUUUUCAAGGGAUCGAUCGUGUACUUUCAUUUAACAAAAAUUCAAAGCACAAUUGGGGAGAGUUGUUCUAGCCCACCAAACAAGUCACUUUGAAUCUAUGAUGAAUUACCACGUGGCAUCUCUAUAAUGGGUGCCCACCCCUCUUUUUUAUAUAAAUAUUUUUACCUAUUUUAUAGUAUUUUUUGAUAAUUUUAAUUUGUUGAUAUCAAAAAAUAAAACAUAAAACAAGUUGAUAUAUCUUUAAAUGAUAAAUUAUUUUAAAAAAUAUCCUACAUUGCAAUCUCAUACACAUAAACAUUGAUGUGUAUAGAUAAUUGAUGAUAUUUCAUAGUCCCAACUUAGCUAAUAAAACAAAUUUCUUCCAACCCCCUGAAUAAUAUAUUCCAAGAGGAAACUUCUUGUCCUUGUUUAUUACUCGAAAGGAGUGGGGUGGCCCUAUAAUCAUAACAAAUAUUCAUCAUUGAUUGUACUUCAUAUAAUAUGAAUAUGUUGAUUAAUAUGAUUAAUUUUUAAGGUGAAGUGUGUUUCUCACAUUGUGGUAAUUUUCAUGAUUUUAGUUUGAAAUAAAAAAUAUUUUUAAUUAUGGCUUUUAAAAAAAAAAUAUAAGCUUUAAAAAGUAUUUGUUUGAUUAAAAAUAUUGUAAGAUAUAUUUUUACAUGUAAAAUAAAUGAAAAGCAGGUAUCCAUAAAUAUAUGUUUGAUUUAAAAUAUUAUGAGAUAUUUUUUUUACUUAUUUGAUUAACAAUAAAUGAAAAACAUGUUAUUUUUGUUCAAUAUUUUAAAUAAAGCAGGGGCAAAAACUAGUAUUAAUUAAGCUAGAUAUAUGAUUUUUUUAGUUUAAUUUUAUUACUAGCUAAGUCUUCUCUGAAAAAUGAAAAAAAAGGAGAAAAAAAGAGGAAAUAAACGGGUAUAUUGUUGAAAUUAUCAGGAUCCUAGUGCAUGUGUAGCCACUUUGAUACCACCAUAGGAAUUUUGUGACCCAAAAAUCUAUAGAGAACAUUGUAUUAAGCAAUCAUGAUGAGGAGAGGCGAACAAUACGAAAGAUGAGAGGGCUCGGUGCACCGAAAUUUGAGAAAAAAACUAUAUUAUAAUCAUAAAAAACAAGAAAUUUUCUUAAUUCGACCCUUCAAUUUAAGGGUUAUUUACAUGUUUUGCACCCCAAAACCAUGCAUUACCCAUGUGGGUCUCCUUUUAUUAUUUUAUUUUCAAAUUCAUCCAACAUUUUUUUCUUCAUAUCCAACAAACCACAAGCGCGCGCCCACACAAACGUACUAGACUCUUGAAAUUUAUUAAUUUCCUUGAAGAUCCUCGACGUUCUACUAUUGAAAUAAAAACUUGUAUGAACUUGUUCAUCAUAAAUCUAUAUUGACAGGCACUCGAGCUAGCUUGUGUUGGCGAGCAGGGCCAUCAAUGGCGGAUCCUAUUCUCUAUAGCCCUCUAUCAUGUUCAACUUCGAAGAGAUACACAGUUGCCAUGGUGUUUUAGGUCAAUUCUCUAAAUGGGACAUGUUCAUGAAAGAAGGGAUGAUUUUUAUUUUUUUUUAUUAAUGUAAAUGUUCGAGUUAGUUUGCUCGAUCUCGACUAAUCCUACAUAUCCUAAAAUUAAUGAUUAUGUAAAUUUCUAGUAGUCAUUAUAUUAGUAGCUGCAUGGCUUAAAUUUAAAAUUAUAAAAAAAUAUAAAUUUCUUGAUUCUAAACCCUUACUACUAAAAUAUCUACUAGACGAUUAAUAAUGGUCUAUUUCAUAGAAUGGGAGGUGAUGGCAUUACUAUCCAAAAAUGAUCCGAUAAUGUCUUUCCAACUUUCAAUGACUUGAAAAAAGGAUAUUGAGAUAAUUUAAUUACGUCCUUUUCUACCAGUUUCAAGUCUUUACACUAAUUAUUGAGCUUACAUAAGCUUAACACAUCAAUUUUUGAUGACUUGGAUAUAGACAAGAUGUAAUUUGCUGUCAGUUGCGCUGGAGGAGGUGAUGCAUUAUCAACGCAAACCCUUUUUCAGCAUGAUUUUCAAUGUUCAUUUUGCUUCCCAAUAUAUCCAUUAAUUUCAAAGAUGCAAGUAGCCGAGAGGAAUUGUCAUUGUAUUAACAAAAUAAAUAAAUAAAUUAUUUUUUUCAUGUUCUUUUAAUUUUUUUUUGUUUUGGAUUCUUUUUAUUAAAUGAUUUUUAAAAAAAAUUAAUCUCUUAUUUUUGAAUUGAUUGAUAACUCGAUUUAUUGAUUUUCUUUUCUAGUUUUCCUUCUAUAUUGUAAUCGAGGCCUCAUGAUCGACACCAUGAGUUUGAAAGGUUAACCUAAGUUAAAUUUAAUCUUUUUCAAAAUUGAUAUGUUUUUUUUAAAAUUUUAUUUUUUAAUAUUGAAUUGGUUGGUAUUGGGUUAUAAUUGUUUUAACUUUCUUUUCUAUGAGAUUGUCCUGGUCUUAUAAGCUAAAUUAAAGGUUAGACGGGUUAACUCGGUUAAAUUAAAUAUUUUUUUUUAAAAUUGGAUUUUUUUUAAGUUUUACUUUUUUAACAUUGGGUUAGUUUGAUAAUUUAGUUUCAAAAAAAAAUUUAAUUGUUUUUCCUAGGUUAUCUCGUUUUCAUGAUAUAAAAUGCAAGUUUGGCAAGCUUACUGGGGUUGUUUUUUUUAUUCUUUUCAAAAUUAAUUUUUUUUAUAUAAUUUUGUUCUUCAAUACUAGGUUGGCUAGGAAUUGAGUUUUUUUUUUCUUCUUUUUCUUUUUGCUUUCAAUUCACUCACUUCUUUUUAGAUCCUUUUUUAAAAUUAAUUUUCUUUUUAAUUUUAUCAUUUAACUUUCACUUUGUCAUGAGAUAAGAUUAUAGAGACUUUUUAAAAUAUUGACAAGAUAUAUUUUAUAAUAUUAAAAAGCAUUCAUUUUGUGCAGGUAAUCAUUGUCAAUGUUUUUGUUUAGUUCAGUUGAUUUACUGUUACUGUCUAUUUUUGUAAUCAUGUUAUUAAAAUAACAUAGUUUAUUGAACCUUAUUGAAUAUAGUCGAGUCAAUGACUCUAGUCUUGAAUUUCUCUUGUUGUUUAAAAUAUAUUAGUAGUAUCAGUGUAUCCUUUUUUUAUAUUAGAAUAAAAUUUAGUUCAGCUCAUGGCGUACCCUGCCCACUGUUAAUUUAAUAUGCCAAGUAGCCAAUUAGUUAGUUACAUGUGAUAUUAUUAUAUUUAUGAAAAUUCAUAUUUAUUAUUAUUAAUAAAGGCUUAAUUUAUCUUUAAUAGUCAUAUAAUAUUAUAUUAAUAAAUUUAAUAUUUGAUUUAUAAAUUUAGAGUAAAGAUAAAAUCCAUGGGACAAAAAUUCUUUGCAAAAAUAAUUAUAAAGUUGUUAAAAUUAUAAAAUUCUUAUUGCAUCAAAGCAUUGUUCCUAAAAUAUUCAUGGUUAAUAAAUUAAACUGGGAUGAUUUAAUUAAAUAUGACUUGAUUAAAAUAUAUUUGAAAAUUAAAGACUAGAAUAUAAUUACUACAUAGAUUAUAUUUCUAAAUCUAGAAAAAUCAAGUAAGCACUUGAUUGAGUUAAUUUCUAGAAUUAUUUUAAAUUAAUAAAUAAAUAUUAUUCAAGGAAAAAAUUGAUAUUUUAUCAAUUUAUAGGGUUUUUCAUAUUUCUCUAUAAAUAAAUAGCUAUGCCUCUUAUGUUUUUGUGGUUGUCUUCAGACAAAAAAAACUACGUAAAUCAUAAAAUAAAAAGCUAGCACUCUAGGCAUAGUAAUCCGUGAUCUCUCCUAAAUAAAGAUUUAAAAGAUUUCUUACUGGUGGUUUGUGUGAAUUACCAUUGAAGGUCGAACAAUUGAACGAUUUAUUAUUUAUGAUAACCCUGUCUUUAAAGAAUUAUUCAAAGCCGAAGAAAAUCAGAUUUUUCAUUAAUAAAUCCAUACACAACUCUAAAUAUGUCUAACAAGAUCAUAGAGAUUCUCGAAUAAUGUUUUUUUUUCACUAUGUAUAUAAUAUUCAGGAAUCCAGCACCCACACAAUCUAAAAAAAUAUGAAAACAAAUCUGUAAUUAGAUCUAGUACAUUAGACCUUAAUAUAUACAUGUAUAUAGGCAUGGUUAGGAAAGGGUCAUCAAAGUAUUCUAAUUGAAAAUUGAUGAUUUAUUUAUUUAUUUAAUUCAAGCACCAUAAACUUAUCAGAAAACAACACAAACAUAUAUAAAUUGAUAAAGAAUGUGACACAAUUAUGGAAUUCAAAUACCUUCCAAAAUGUCACAACACAACAACCUUGCCCACAGGUUACAAAAGAAUUUAAGAGAAAAAGAACCUGUGAUUUCCAUGCGGUGCCAGAGCCACCAAUGGAAAACGUUCAUGAGAAACCGCUUCCCGUCGGAAACUUCCUGGAAAUUUCUCAUUUCUGGUUGAUAAUUAACCGGCCUCGGAGUGUCGGUUAAUUUCCUUUUUUUAAUCUUUCUUUUUAAUCCUUUAAUUUCCACCCACAAUUGUUGUUCUAGAACAAAAACGAGUUAGUAGAAAUUAAGUAAUGGUAGUGCUUUCACUUGACACGUGAAUCCACCAAAAUUAUACACAUAACCUCUCAUGCUACGACUCUUGUGUCCAUUUUGACAAGACAUUAGGUUUAAAUGUUGCACAAAAAGCCAAUAUUACGUGAAAUUUCCCAUCAUGCCUUAAGAUGGCUCCUUCUGCAGAAUAAUUUAUACACGUCAAAGAAUAUCUGUAUAUGGAUUUAUGUUUACACUAUGGUUUGGGGAAGAUGUUUACAUCAUGAGACUUUACUCUAAGAAUCAUCCAAAACACACCUCCCUCCAAAACUCUCCCUGUUCUCCUUUGGCCUUAUUAUUAUCUUUCAUUGAUGUAAAAUAUAUUCCCUCCACUCCUAAAUCCUAUUAUUAGAUAACUAUAUUAUAAUAUUCCUAUUCCAUAUCAUUUUUGAAAAUUGAGCUUUCAAACUUUAAAUAUCAUCUUUCUUAGAUCACUCUAAAAAAUUAACAAAUAAAAGCACAAGCAAUACUAAUAAAAAUAUUAAUCUCGCAAUAAUUAUUGAUAAAUACCGAUAUAAUUGUUUUUUAAAUAUUGAUUCGAUCUCGAGUUCAUAACCGAAAAAAUCUCUUAAGGGCAUGAACUAUGUAAUCCGAUUAUGUGUUCCUGAUUUUAUUAAGCAUUUUGUUAUAUAAAGGCUAAAUUUAAUUUCAUCAGUUUUUCUGGUUGAAGCUCCCAUUAUGUAAGGAAUUAGAAUACUGAAAUGGUAUCAAUUGACUAUCAUAUAUUCCUCUAGUUUUCCAACCAAGUUCGUAGAUAUGUUUGAUGAAAAUUAAUUUAAAAUAACUCCUAAGAAAAGGACACAUAGUAUAUUAUAGAAGAAAAAAAACACAAGAAAAACAAGGGAGACAUAGUAUAAGUUGGAAUCCAUACGUCAAAAGUUAAAAUAUUAUAACUUUGAUUAAAAUAAAAAAAUAAAUCAAUUUAAUCAAAAACUUAUUUCUAACUACAUAUCUAUAUAUAUAUAUAUAUAUAUGAUUCGUGGUCGGGUCUUAAUUAAGUUCUACCAAUGUAAGAGCAAAAUCUAACAAUUUUCUCGUAAAAUCUUAAUUACCCAUAGAAAGAUACAUGGUUUUUAUUGAUAUAGAUAGAGAUCGUUGAAAAACAACAAUUUUCUGGUAGUUUCGGUCUAGCUAAUCUUAUCGGCAAUUUCCAUAAAGUCUCAAAUAUAGCACUUGUAUCAUUACAUGGAGACUAAAAACAUUAAUCUGAUGUUUUUUUUUGUGAUUUUAAAUAUUUUGAUGUGUUAAUAUUAAAAAAUAAUAUAUAUUCAAUAAAAAAGCACUACCAUACACCCCAAUACCAAAUAUAUACAGAGAAAGAAAAAGAAGUUUUAUGGUUUUGAUCAUCACAUAGUUCUAACAUGUUUGCAUGUAUGAUGUCGGAAAUCAAAUCUCUAUAAUAGAGCAAAGUAAAUACUAGCCAGCCAGCUAAUUUAGUGUUGUUAGGACAUGUUCCUACUAAUUUCCAUGCAUGUGAAACCUUGCAAAAAACAUGAACCGACAGCACAGGAACAAAAGCAUAUGCAGAUGCAGGCCAGGUGGAAUUAAGUACUGUUGAUUAAUCUAGUUACCAUGUCGGUUCAUCUGGUGAAAUCAAUAUUAAUUAAAAGGUUAAACACGAAAUAAAUGACAAUGAGAUGAGCUAAUUGUGGACAAAUCAAGCAAGACAAGGCAUGUUUAUGUUCUGAGACGACAGCAAAGUGUUUCUUUUGCGUGUGAAAACGAGGUGGAGAGUCUUGAUUGGUAGGUCUAGUCUCCACAGCCCCCAUAUUUUCAUGCAGCAAAUAAGGGUUUUUUUUUUCUUUUUUCUUUUUUAUUGAAGAACAUGCUCCGUGGCGAGCUCGCUUCUCUCUGUAGCUUGUGUUGCUUGUAUGCUAAUUACUUGGAAUAAAAUAAAUGGUAUUUAGAUUCCCUUUCACUACAAAAACAUACGGACCAAGUAACCCUAAAGGGGACAUGGCUUUCCUGCAAGUCUGUGACCUAGACAGAAGCUUUGCUUCGAAUAGAAAGGAAGUUCAAUGGCUUACACUUGGUGCACAUGUUUCCGCAUGAUCCUGCCUAGUUCCAGCUUACCCUUCUUUAUUCUCUUACAGUGACGAUUCCACUCUUUCCUUUGACUCUUUCUCUCUUCUUUAACUUUUUACCCUGACAUGUUUCUGUUUUCUGUUAUCUCCCUUUUGAAAACAACUUCAUUAAAAAGAGGAGAAAAUUCAAGGGACCUAGCUGGCUGCCCCACUCUAAUCUCCUUGAUUGAAAAAUGUUUCUAUCCAAAAGUUUUGAAAAAAGAAAAGAAUAAAAAAGAAAGAGUACUACAGAUAACAGAGAAUCUGGUCACAGUUCUGCUUGCUUGGAUAUGUUAAAGAUGUAAUCAAGGUUAACGGAUGGUCAUCUUUAACCCAUUAAGCACGAUCAUUAUUUAAUAAAUGCCGAUUAUUCCAUAUAUAUAUAUAUAUAUAUAUAUAUAUAUAUAUAUAGAGAGAGAGAGAGAGAGAGAGAGAGACAUGGUGAACUUAGCGUCUAUAUUAUUGCAAUUGGUUAAUGUCUCGGAAAAAGAAUAGAUCUAAAAAGGACAAUGUUUAGCCAGAGGGAUGUCGAAAACAAAUUUGUUUUAGAAAUGGAAUUUUAGUAAAUUUAUGUCAUUUCAAAACACGUACGAAAUAGAUGGUGAUAUAUUCUCUUUUCAGUUAUUUUUAUCCUGAAAUAAUAAUUAAAUGUUACUUAUAUUUUUCAGGUGUGAACGGGAACAUAGAUAUUGAUUUAUAUCAUUUUAAUUUUAAUAAGAUGUUUCACGUGAUUCUCUUGAAACUCUUAUACUGAUAUUUGUGAUUAUGGUAUAAAGUGAUUUUCAAAAUAGUAUAUUGUUUAAAAAUAUAUUAAAAUGAUUUUGUUUUUGUUUUUAACAUUAACACAUCUAAAACCAUUAAAAAACAUUAAAGACAUUAAUUUAAUAUUUUUUAAAAUUAAAUUUAAAAAAAAAACAUCUAAAAACAAAAACAGAAACAACACUGAAAACCACCUUGAUCCAACAUAAGGUUAAUUUCCCUUCCAUUAGUAUCCCUUCCUCCAUUCAUUCAGUCUCUACUGAUAAUUCACAAGGAGAAAAUGACAAGUUAAUUUCUUGCAAGUUGUCUAUAUUUGUAACAUGAUAUCGAUCCUUAACGGCAAGGGGCAUAUAUCUAGGCCCAUUUUGAGAAAUCAGACACCAUCUAAGCUACUGUCAAUUUCUCGAACAAGAAAAGAAAGAAAAAUCGUAUCCUGGUGUCAAUCAAGUUCAAAUCAAUCCCCUUAAUCAAGCUAGGAAAGCUGGCUGCGCAUUUCUCCUAAAAGAAAUGGAUGUUAAGUAUCAUAUUAAAAUUCAUUUAAGGCCUUAAUUACCUUGUUAAUUGCACUGACUAGUAGCUGAGACGUCGAAGUGCACAGAAUUAAGGACUUUGAGUACAAUGCAUUUCGAGGUUAUUUACUUCUCUCGUUAAUUAAUUCGCAUCUAAAGAGAAAAAACGCACAUAUGACAAAAAAAAUAAAUGAUUUUCUUAUAUAGAUAGAUAUAUACACACACACACUCAUGGCAUCUUUCCUUUGGUAUCUAUCAAUCAAAUAAAAAAGAAAUCGGAAGAGGAACACCAUGAACUAAUAAAAAUCUAUACAGAUUAUAUCAAUACAAAGAACUUUCCAAACUCUAAUCAAAUUACCUAGCUAGCUAAUGGAGAAAUGGCUGUUUCAAAUCAUAUGUCCUCAGUACUUUUUCUCUCUCUUUUUUUUUUCGUUACAUUCAUGUAUCCUAAGAAUUUAAAGAACAAAUUAAACCACGCGUACAUAUACAUAUAUUCUCUAUGGUCUUCAAUAAUCCCACAAGCAAUCCAAAUCUGCAAUGGGGCCAGCUGAUGGACCCUCAAGAUCUUCAAAAACCUUAUCAUGGCUUCCUAUUUCUUGCUUUGAAACCACAGAUGAUAUCUCAGCUGUGGUGUUCACGUCUGUGCUAAGUCCAGUGUCCUGUGAAAGGCUGACCAUAGAUUGAUUAGAUGAGAAGCGCUCAACCUUGCACUGUUUCUCCAAUCCAGAUGCUUCUCUAUAACUAUUUCUAGCUAACGAUCUUAGAAGGGCAUGUUCAUUGUCACUGAAGAUAGAGUUUUGAAAGUUUUGGAAUGAAUUAGAAGAACUCUUUCCUUGGUGCAAGUAGCCAGGCAUAUUGGGAGUACUGGUUUGAAAGGUGUAAAGAGGAUUUGAGGCUGCAAUUUGAGGGUGAAAACUGGAGUUUGGUGCUUGGUAGUUGGUAUUCGGAGGUUGAACAAAGUUUUGAUUGUUGUUGAGCAUGCUUGUAUUGGAGAAAUAAUUUCCAUCUGAUGAUCUUGUUGCCAUUGCCUUGAACUCAUUGUUAUCGCCACCACUGAAGCUGCUGGUGCUUGGCCUGCUAUUGUAAUUAAGGGGAUCCAUGAAAGGUGGCAGGGAGGAGUAAUCCAAGAAAUCAUCUCCGAAAGAGUUCACCCUUAGGAGGUCAUGAAUUGAGGUUUUCUUGAUGCCUGUACUCUUGUGGAAAAUCCUGCAAACUACCCAUUCAUCCUGUAAAAACAUGGCCAAAAAAAGAGUCAUGCUCAGUCCAGAUUCUUCUUUCACACAAAAGCAAAAGCAAAAAGAUAGAUAAAGCAAAACAAAAAACAAAAAAACAUGAAAGAAACUCUCCACCAAAUCAAAAGCAAAGAAAUGAAAAACAUUUAAAAGAUGUGACAAUAAGUAACAACUCAAGCUUUCUUUAAUUACAACCAAGAGAAAAACGUACAAGAAAGGAAAAAAAAAUGGAAUUUUGUGCAUGUGGAUGCAUACCCUUGCAGCCUUGGGGAGGCUAUAGUACGAGAAUUUGCCUUCAAGCCUGUAUUCAUGCAUAACCCAAUUUGAUUUCUCUCCUUUUGGAGCUCUUCCUUUGUAGAAAACAAGAGUCUUCUUCAUCCCGACAAGGCUGUUUUUUCCCUUGUAAAUUUCCUUGUCUUUCCCUGUAGCCUUCCAGUACCCAGAUUCUGUAGCACGAUUGGUUCUCAUACCAGUUGGAUAUUUCCUGUCUCUUUGGCAAAAGAAAUACCAUUCUUUCUCCCCCAUCUUUGCUUUCUCUGUUCAAAACAAGUCUUUUUCAACAUUUGGACCGAAAAUUCAGCAACAAAUUAAAAUGAACAAAACCAAGAUUGAUUAAAGAGGAUUAAGGGUGGUGUCUUAAUAUUGACCCUAAAGAAACUAGGAGUUGGUAGAAAGAUGAAAACUCACUUGGCAAAUCCCAUGGCUCGCACUUAUUGAGAUCAACUUCACCAAUAGCACUUGCACAGAAGCAACCAUUCAUCACCUUCUCUGUAAGAUAAUGAGUUAUUAUCUCUUCAUCUGUAGGGUGGAACCGGAAACCCGGUGGCAGAUCAAUCAGAUCAUCUCCUUUGUUCACCACAAUAGCUUCCUCCAUUGUCAUCACACAACGAGCUAGCUACCAGCUUAAUUAAUUCUCCGAACUACCUAUAAGACUAUGAGCGCGUGCCUCUGUGUGUCUGUGUGUUCAUACACACACAAAGCAAACAAGCUAGAAGAAGAGGGAGGAUUCUUGGUAUUUUGUUUUUUUUGCAGGAAAAUUUAGAAGAGAUAGAGAGCAGUUAAGAAAGUAGAGCAAGGGCCUUAAAGAGGGCUUAAAUAGAGGUUAGCAAAACAUUGCUGUCUAACAUGAAGAUCCGUAGGCUGCAAGCAAGCCUUGUUUGAAGUCCUGGGGAAGCCACUGGUUUAAAUGAUUCAAUAGGUUUUUUUUUCCUCGAUGGUGUGUUGUUCUGCUGCGCUGUUUUCUUAGCUGGCUACUAUAUCAUCUACUUGUUUGAAAAAAUAAUGUGAAAAAGGGAAAUGGUAAAAGGAGCUUUCGUUCUAAUUAUAUCAUAUGCUGGUGGUGGGGGGCCAUGGAUUUUAGCAAUAAAGAACUUGGAAAAUGGAGGCCUUUUUAUUUGCUUGAAACUGCCUAACCUUUUUUAUUAAUUUUUUUAUAAUAAGCUCGAGAUUCUAAUCUAUCGGUUUUUUAGUCUCUUAAUUUAACCAAUAGUCUUAGUUCAAUGCCCUCGAGUAGUUCCUAUGUAUUAUCAUUAAGAAAAACUGUUACUUUGUCAAUUUUCAGUUUAAUUCUUCCUGGCUAAUUAAGUAGCUCUGCUAGCUACUAUUGUUGACUGCUACUGCCAUGCCUUAACAAGUGUCAACGUUUUUUUUAAAUUAUUUUCUACCUAAAGAAAUUGCCAAGCUCGUGGAUGGUUUUGAUUAUAUAUUAAUGUUAAAAAUUAAAAAAUAUUAUUUUGAUAUAUUUUUAAUUAAAAAAUAUUUUUAUAAUUAACAUCAAACACACAUAAUUAGGUCAAUAGCUACGUACAAAUGACUGUGUACACGGAUUCAUAUUGAAAUCAUAAUUAUUAAAUCCAAUUCGAGAUAUGACCUAACCCAAAAUUAAAUCCAGUAACGGGUUGAUUGGAUCAAUUAUAAAAUGAUGUUGUUUUAGUUUUUAAAUAAAAUGAAAUAAAUUUGGAUAAAAAUUAAAAUUGAUGUUAUUUUUUACAAAAAUUAAAAAAAUUCUUCAGAAUCGAUUUGACUAAAUUAUAUUUUGAUUUGGUUGAGUUCCAGGUAACCCUCUAAAUUACUAGAUUUUGAAUGGAUCCACAUUUAUCAUGAUUUAAGAAAAAAAUCUCCGUCAAAAUAAGACAAUUAGUCAAGCUGAAUUUAACAACUACAAAAUAAAAAUAAAAAAGGACGGAUGAUUCCCUAAAUAUAUGCAAAGCAUGCUAAGUGGAGGGAAUCUAGGGAACUAUAUAUAGAUGAAGAAAUUAGAAAUUUCAAAGCUUUUAAUCUAAUUAGAUUUGAGCCGACCUAGUGCUAGUUCUAUUACUUGUAGAUUUUAUUUCAAUCUUGUAAUAUAUUCGAUCAGGAAAAUAUAUAGUAUUUUCACAGUACACUUCAUUUUAAUUCUAUGAAAAUUAACGAAAUAAUAACUUCUUCAUCUUAUUGCUUCUGCGUGAUUAUACUAAUCAUUUGAUGAAAAUAAUUUUACAAAGCUAGGAGUUGUAUUUAUAAUAAUAUUCUUCCAAUUUCUCUUCUAUAUAUGCAUAGGCAAGAUCGGUGUAAUCUGAGCUUUAAUUACCAUAGGAGUGCAUGCAUGCCUCUUUAAUUAUUAAUUCGUGCUGUAAAUUAUAUUGAAAAAAAUAAAAUAAAAUUAAGGAUGUUGUCUGUGAGUUCAUAUAUUUUUAUUUUAUUAUUAAUAUAAAUAUCCGGAUUAAUUUAUAUAUGUACCUCAAUUAAUCUCACGGAUCCUAAAAAUAAUAAUUAUAUAAGUAUCUAAUGUUUUAAAAAAACUCGAAAUUAUAAUCAUUAAAAAACAAAUAUAAUAUUUGAUCAAAUCUAAUAUUUGACCAGAUAAAAAUUAGAAAUUACCUUAUAAUUUUUAGAAACCAACCUACUCAAAAAUUUCUAUGCAAAAUGUUGAAAUCUAAACGAAUUUCAUCUUGUAGAAAUUAAAACAAAUUAAUUUCAACUUUUCCUAUCGGUAUUACUCUCAGCAUUCUGUAAUAAGCAAAUUUCUUGAGUAUCAACGCCCUUGUAGCAUCGUGGCAAUUUCAUCUAUAUAUAUAUGUGCAAAAUAUUCUAAAAAGAAAUUAAGAGAAUUUUUUUGGAAACUUCCCAUAUAAUUCAUAUGGAAUAAUAUUCACAAAGUCAAACAACUUUCUUCGAUAAGAAAUCAAACGACUUUUUGAUGCAUUAAAAGAGAAAAAGAGAUGCCAAUUAAUCCCGGAAACAGCUAGAAUCGUAGUGGCAUGCAAUUUGAACCCUCUCCACUAUUAAAAAUAGGCAAUAUCUGUUUUGAUAUUGUGAUAAUUUUUAUAUUUUAAAGUGUUUUUUAAAUUAUUUUUUACUUGAAAAGUAUUAAAUUAAUGUUUUUAUGUGUUUUUAAUGGUUUUGAUAUAUUGAUAUUAAAAAUAAAAAAAAUCUAAAAAAAACAUGUUUUUAAUACAUUUUAAAUUAGAAAAUAGUUUUUAAAAAUAUAUUAUAUCAUAUUAUCAAACAUACACUUAAUCCAUUAAAAAAAAAGCAUGUUAAACAAUAAAUUAGACCAACCCUAUCUUCUUUUAGCGACCUUGAAAACAAGUCAUAUUAAUUAUGAAUAAAAAAAAUCAAAGUAUUACAUGUUUUUCAACCAAGUAUCCGAACACAAAACAAUUCCCAAUUGAAUCUCCAAACACCCCCAAAUUAAAAUUUAUUACAAAAAUAUACUUGUCCUUCCAUGUUCUUAAAGGAAAAAAAAAACUUAAGGCAAGAACUAAUUAUCAUAAUUAGGAAAUUCCAAAUUGAGGGGGCUAUUUGGAAAUGUUGUUGUCUAGGGAUCCAAUUGAUAAGUAAGUUAUUGUUGGGGGUAAAUAUGUCCCUUUCCUAAAAUAAAAAGUGCCCACACGGUUUAUUACGCGGAGUCGAGUAAUGAUUAUGACUAAUUACCAUGGAAUUGACUAAAGAAAGUCGUGGCUACAUGCUCUCAAUUUGCUUUUAAAUAAAUUUUUUAAAAAAGUUUUGUAAUGUAUUAUUAAUUUUUGUUAUAUAGUUGGAUGAUAAAAAAUAUUUCCAGGUAAACUAUUGAAUCGACCGAGAUUGAAUUAUUUUUAAUAAUAUCUUAAAGACAUAUUCAAGAAAUAUUUAGUAUAGUAAAUAUUGUUCAAAUUACAUCAGCAAUGAAAAGGUAUAACAAUAAUAAUAAUAAAAAAAAAAUAGCUAUUGACUGACCUGCAAUUCCUAAAGCAAAAGGCUUCAUAUUAUGUUAUGUUGUGUGAUUAUGAUUAAUUUUUAAAGUAUUUUUUAUUUAAAAAUAUAUUAAAAAAAUAUUUUAUAAAAAAAUAAAAAAUUACUUUUGAUAUCAGCACAUUAAAAUGAUCUGAAAAUACUAAAAAAUAUUAAUUUAAAAUAAAAAAAUUAAAAAAUUAAAAUUUUUUAAAAGCGUUUUUGAAACGUAAAAACAUACAUGGUAGACAAAAUUAUGUUUCAUUUUUUUUUUCUCAAAAUAAUUUCAAGCUUUUAAAAAAAAAAACUUUAAAUAAUAUCAUUUUUAAUUGAUUCACUUAAUAUGAGUUAACCUAUCUAACCUGUAAUUCAUGUUUAAAUUAGAUUAAAUUGAAUUUAAUAAAUUUGUAAAAUACCAUACAUAAUUACAUACUUGCUUCCAAAUGAAAGGAAAAAUAAAUAAAUAAAAAUAAAAAUACCUUGACACUGACUAAUGAGCUAUUUAGAACUGCAUUUUAAAUGAUAUUUCUCUAAAUUUUGAAUUUUGUUUUGAUUAAAAUUAAUUUUUUUUAAUGUAUUUUUUUGAUGUGUUAAUAUAAAAAUAUUUUUUAAAAAAAUAAAAAAUAUUAUUUUAAAACAUGUUUUAUAAAAAUAAAAUACUUUAAAAACCAAUCAUUAUUAUACUCUAAAAAAACUAAAAUAGAAAAUCAAGCUCUAACAUCACUUUCUCUCUCUUUUUUAACCACUACAUCUUUCCAUAAAAAAGAGUUGUGCACAACUUCUCUUUAACAAAUCAACAAACUGAUUAGCACAUUUAAUUAAUUUAUUUUUUAUAGUUAUGUAUUAAUAUUAUCUUAUUCAAGUUGAAGUUUAUAUAUUAAAUAAAUUAUCGUAUGAUUAGGUGCGGGGGCCAGCUAAAUCUUCUUCCACGUGUUGACAUUCGAAACUUAAUCAUGCUGAGUUGGACUAUUACUUUCUGCCUUACAUCAUAUGCUGUGCAUUCACAUUUACUUGCCCAUGGUUUUGUCCUUUCUAUCACUUCUCACGACGCCUUCUUCUUCUUAUUAUUAUUAAUUUUUUUAAUAAAUGAGUUAUUUUCAUGUACAUUAUUUUUCAAUAGAAUUUUAAACAAGCUAUGUCAAUUUGUAAUUUAAGAUAAUUUCCAUUAAUUUAAUUGAGAAAACUCAAUUAUAAGGAAUUUGUCUCUUUACAAUAAUUACAUAUUUUGAAUUCAUUGCUAAUUACAAGGUAAAAUCAGAAAAAGAAUUAAGAAUUGUAGAAAACUUUAGUUUACAAUAUAUGAUUAAUAUAUGAAAAAAGUAAUAAAAUUCAAAGAAAUUUUCACCUUAAUUCUGUCGUUUGACUCGAAAUAAGAAUAAAAACUAGAAAGAAAAAUAGAAUUUAAUGAUAUCAUGAGAAUACAUAAAAUUAAGUAAUAAUAAAAUGAUAAGAAAACAAAUUAAAAGUUACAAUGUGCAAAUUAAACGAAACUAAAUAACCAUAAAACACCAAAAACAAAAUGUGGGAAUGAAGGCACCCAUCGUUGGUAAGAAAAAAUCAUCAUUCUAACCUUGAUAAGUGUAAAUCAACUGGUUAGAUUUUAGAUUUGCUUAUUAAAGAUCACCAGUUUGAGUCUUACAAAUCUUAUAGCCACUAAAGACUUACAUGGUCAUUAACUUCAGAGCCCAUGGGAUUAGUUAAGGUGCACUCAAACUGGCCUGGACACUCAUGUUAAUAAUAACAAUAAUAAUAAAACAUCAUUCUUAGUAGCUCAAUUUCUAAGACAUCUACAUUGUAGAAAUGGAUAUAAAAAGCAAAAAAAACAUUAAGAAUUUGUUUAUUUUUAUAUUAAUUUUUUUGCUUCAUAUUAAUUUAUUAUUAUUAUUAUUAUUAUUUUAGAUCAUUUUGAUAUACUGAUAUUAACAAUAAAUUUUAAAACAUUAAAAAAAAUUAUUUCAAUAUAUUUUCAAGUAAAACACUCUCUGAAAAUCAAUUAUUAUCACAUUACCAAAAAAACUAUUUUUUUAAAUUAAUAAUUAGCAGUUUGGGUGAUAGUUUCAAAUAUUUAAAAGUAAUAAUUUGGCUUUUAUAAAUUAUUUUUGUCAUUAAAAAUCUCCUAAAAAGAAAAGCAUAAAAGAAUUUGCUUAAGAUGAGAAAGAUUUGACGGUUAAUUAUUCGGUUUUAAAAUUCUACGUAAGUGCAUAAACUUUAUGAUAUGGGGUUUGCAUUUUAUAUUUUUAUGUACAAAGCAAUAUUCUACUUUUAAAAUUGUACAAUUCCUAGGCAAUUUGGUAAAAAUUUUACCUUGUUGUCCUACCUUUCACUUGUGGAAGAUGAAAAGUCUAAAUUUGUCUCUCUUUGCAUAAUCCUUAACCCUUAAAAAUAAAAUAACUAAUAAUUUGAUAAUAUUAUUUUUCAUAUUGGGAAUAUUGAAAAACGACACACACACACAUAUGCACGAAACAAAGAAUAACAUGAAGAUUUUUUUAAUAUAGAAAAAUAACAUAGUAUUGGUGGGUUAAUUAUUGAUAUUAGAAUUAAGCAUAUGUACAUGAAAUACACGAAACAAGCAUUGUAAGUUGUUUAUUUUGACUGAUUGUAGGAAUUUGUAGUGAUAUUAAUAUUUAUCACCAUAUCUUUUUGUCAAUUAUUUUCAUUAUUUCACCGAAUAGAUUAUUAAUCAUCUACGAAUAGAGAGCUUUUUCUGAAUAAGUAAGCAUGAAAUGAGACGACUAAGUCUCUAUGGAAUCAAAAGGAUGUCUAAAAUAUGAGGCAUUAUUAAUUAUAACAAUUAGAUUUAAUAUUAAUUGGUGUGAUUUUUCAUUUUUCUAGUUUCAUUAAAUAGUCAAUGUUUUUUUAAUUAAUAUGAGUGUUUGGGUCAGCUUGUGCGUACCUCGACUAUUCUCAUGGGCCUUGAAGUUAACGAUCAUGUAAGUCUCCAAUGAUUCUGAAGUUUGUAGGAUUUAAACUAAUGAACUCUAAAAUCUAAACAAUUGAGCUAUACCACUCAAUGUUUUUAUUAAAUAAUCAUCAUAUAUAUGCAACAUAUUAAAUCUUAAAUUAUUAAGUUAUACAUAAUUAUUUUUCUUUUUUUUUAACUCAAAUGAGUUGCAUAUUUGGACAACUCAUACUUGAGUUGUCUACUUAGAAAAAUAUAGUUUAAUAUUGUUUUGCAACAUGGUAUAUUGUAGGUUAUACUAUAAUAAAAUUAUAUUUUUUUGUUUUUAUUGCCAAAACGCAAGUUAUACUGAUAUCAUGCAUCACGUUAUUAAACGAAUACUUUAUUUAUGGUAUGAUUUGUAAAAUAAAUUUAAUUAUCCAAUGGAUAUGGGAGCAGGACAUUGAGGCAAUCAGGAAAACAAAUAAUUAAAAAAAAUAAAGAAUGAAAAAAAAUUUUGAUAAAAGAAUUGCGUGUGGACCCUAAAGGGAAAGCUUGACAAAGUAUUGAUCCAAAAAACUCUCUAUGUCAAUAGCUUUAAUCUGUUGACUUGCGUGCCUAAAACGAAACCGCAAAGCAAAGGGCCACCAAGAUGGGUGACGAUUGGUGACGGACGUGACGGUGUACACUCAUCUCUUUCUUGGCACAUUUUGGUUGGUCCACCUCUUGCAUCAUCUUUUGUACGUAUAGCAUGUGAGGGUGACCCAACUACCUGAGUGGCCCAAAAUCCCAAAACCUUGAUAUACAUGAGCGAAAAUCACACCAUCUGUUGUUUUAAUAUUUUCUCUAUCGUGUUUUUAAGAAUUAUAAUCUAUAUUUUAAAUUUAGUGUACUCGUGAUGUUUUAUAUCCUAAAUCAUUUUAUAAUUUAAUUAUUUUAGACUAACCAAUAAUAUAAAUUAUAAUUUUUAAGAGCAAGAAAAAUAAAUAUAAAAACAACAAAACUAUAGAAAAUAAGAGGGAUUAAGUGAUAUGAUCCAAGAAAAGAUUGAAUAAGAGAAUUCAGAUUCUAACAUAACUAUGUAUGUUAUCUAGUUUUACUAUAUCAAACAUAACUUUUAAUCUGAUCGUUGGAUUAAUAUAAUUUUACCAGGAGUUUCCAUACAUAUUUUUCUACAUUGGAUUACAAUGUUAGGUUAAUUAGACUUCUAAAAGGUAUCACUAUAUAGGUCGGAAGAUAUAAUACGAAUUUUGUUAUUUGUUGCCUUUUGACUUGUGAACUUUCUAUUUGAAGAAUAUUAUUUUCCUAAUAAUAUAAGGAUAUUCAACUAAUUUUGAAACUUUUUCUAGUUGUACAAGGAUCUUUAAUGGACAGCAACAUAGUUCCCAAGUGUAAGAAGAAUUUCUUUAAUGUUCUAAAUUCCUUUUCUUACAAGGAUUCUUGGGCUGAUUUUUUCUAUGAAUAGUUUUAUACUGGCAAACAUAAUUUUUUAUUCAAUCAUUGGAUCAGAUUGAAAUUUCACCUUAUGUUUCUAUAAGUCUUUUUUUUAUAUUAGAUUAAAAUUUUAAAUCAAUCCAAUAUUAGGAAGGCCUUGUGAUAAGAUCCAGAAGCUACAAUGUGAGAUUUAUAAUAGUUUUCUGGUUGAUUUGCAAAAACCUAUCCUGUAUAUUUAGGGUUUUAAGAAAAGAAUUUGAUAAUUUAAAAGAACUAUUAUAUAAAUGCAAGCUUUAGAUAAAGAUGUGCAACAACGUUGAAAAGAUAAACGAGAAAAACAAUGGUUGCUUAUUUCAGACAAAGUUGUUGGAGGUGAGUGUUAGCAAGAAAGAGGUUCAAAGGCUUAAACAAUGGGUUAUGAAACAUCUAUUGUACCUAUUGGUGAUACGAGGAUGAAUCAUCUUGAAGAGAGAUGAAAUGAUAUGAUCCAAAAAAGGGUUAAACAAUGAAAUUUUGAUUCUAGCGUAAUUAUGUCUACUGUUUAAUUUUAUGCUAUAAAGUAUAACUCUCAAUUUGAUAGUUGAAUCAAGCUUAAAUUCUACCAAGAGUUUUUGGACAUAUUAUUCUAUAUUGAGUUAAAAUUUCAGAUCAAUUGGAGAUCUUAAAGGUAUCGCGAUACAGGUCAGCAUAUCCAAUAUAGAUUUUAUUAUUUGUUGUCUUUUAACUUGUGGACUUCCUAUUUGAAGAGAGUUCUUUUCCUAAUAAUACAAGGAUAUUUAGCAGCUAAUUGAAGACUUUUUCUAGUUCUACAAGGAUUUUUAAUUGACAGUAACACUGUUUCCAAGUGUGACAAGAAUUCCUUCAAUGUUCCAAAAUCCUUUUCUCACAAGAAUUAUGGGGUUGAUUGCAUAAUUUUAUGUGAACUAAUAUAUUUUUUAUUCAACCAUUGGAUCAAAUUGAAAAUUUACCAGAUGCUUCUAGAUGUCCUAUUUUAUAUCGGGUUGAAAUUUCAAAUCAAUCCAACACCGGGAAGGCCUUGUGGUAUGGCCUGAAAGCUAUUGUGUAAAAUUUAUAUUAGUUUAUUGUUUGAUUUAUGAUUCUUUUUUUCUAUUGUAUUUAGAACUCUUUAUUUUUUUAUUUUUAGAAUUGUUAGGAUAUUUUUUACUAGGGUUAUUUUGAUUAUACUUCGGUUUUUUUAGCUUUUAAGACAUGAUGUUUUGAAUAAACUUGUGUUUUGCAUGAUUAAUACUUUUCUCUUUGAUUAAACAAAUAAUAAAUUUGACUUAUAAAGGUAUAACUGACCUUAAGUAUUUAUUUUAUACUUCUUGCUUGUGAAUUGAUAUUUAUUAGGUAAACAUUUAUUCAAUUAGUGUUGAUAUUUUGAUUCAGAUAAUUUCUAUAUCAUACUCUUAAUAAAUCAUUUUUUUUUUUUAGCUUUGUGACUAUUUCCUUAAUCUCUUCAUAUUAAAGAGGAAAUGAGUAGAAGCUUUCAAAGGACAAGGAUCUAUUUCUCCUUUUCUUUCUAGAAACAUUGUAAUUGUUUUACUUUUCAAAAGUUUAGAUAAAUAAUUGUCAUAUAUAGACAGACUCUCCUUUUCUUAUUGUAUAAGUAAUGAUUCAGAUUCUAUUAUAAAUACUAUAUAUUUUUUAUUUUAUUGAACAAAUUAACUAUAGUUUUUGAAUUUAUGAUGUUGAUGCAAAUCCAACGCGUUCACAUUAUAUGAGUGUUUGUUUUUGUGUUAUAAUUUGUUAUUCCAAAUAUUUUAAAAAUAUUUUUAGGAGUUUUUGAUGUGUUACUAUAAAAAAAAUCUAAAAAAAUCAUUUUAAUUAAUUUUUAAAUAAAAAACAUUCUAGACACAACACUAAACAAACAAUUACAUCACUUUAGUGCUUCCAACAGGGAUACAACCUUGACGUUAGUGCUUACUUUUCCCCUCUAUUUUUAUUACUAUUUAAUUUUUUUGUGGACAAAAUCUAAUUAUUUAAUUUGAUAAAUGGAACCUAACUUUACGUUUUAUCCAAACAAAUAAAUAAUUGGGUGACAUUUACGUACUAGCAAUAUAGUAUAUAUUCGCCUUAAUCUCAGCCAUGAAAAAUGGUGACCAUGAUGUCAUCUACCCUUCCUCGCAAGUCAUAAAAGGAAUCUAUGAAUAAUAAAGAAACAUCCAUGUACCCCGUGACGUCAUUCUAUAUAAAAAUCUAACUUCUUUAAUAGAGACUCCACAUAAUAAAACAAAAUGAUAAUUUGGAUUGAUAUAGCGUUCCAUGUAACUUGCAACAUUGCUAAUAAAUUUUUUUUAUUUUGGAUGAGUUUUGCUUGGAAAAAAUAUUAAAUUUAUAUAUUUUUUAAUGUUUUUAAUAUAUUUUUAUUUAAAAAAUAUUAAAAAAAAUUCCUUUCACUACAAUACUAAACACACACGUUCUAAAUUAUAACUUUUAUAAUACAUUUAUAUAAAUAUUAAUAGAGAUGAUAAUGAAUAUAUAUGAGUCUAGUUUUUAUAAUAUUCAUAUCAUAUUUAAUACCAAACUAAUAAGAAAUUUAAAUAUUUAUGAUUAUUUUUUUAAAAAUAGAUUUUUGUAAGAAUAUAUAUGACUUGGAUUAAAUUUGAUAUGAGUAUUUAAAAAAACUUAUUUAUUUAGAUUAAUUUAGAUCGAUAUCCUUUAAAUUCAGAUAAAAUGGUGAUGUUUCAUGGGGUGAGACAGUUGGCUACUAUUGGGACAAAUGGAAUAGAUGACUCAGAUUCAACCUCGUGCCUUGUACAAGCCUAUAGAAAACAUUAUCUUCUAAUGGUUCGGAUAAUAUUAAAUUUAUAGUUUUUAGUGUUUUUUAAUAGCUCUUACAUGGUAUAUUAAAAAUAAAAAAUCUUAAGAAAAUUAUUUUAAUAUAUAUUUUUUUAAAAAAAUAUUUUUAAAAAUCACCCUAUAUAAUACCAAACACACUCUUAAUUAUAGUUUUUAUAAUAUACUUGUGUAAAUAUUAAUAGGGAUGAUAAUGAGUAAAUGUUGGUCUGGUUUGUACUAUAUUCAUAUCACAUCAAGUACCUAUUGAGUAAAACUUUUUAAAUAUUCUUUAAUUUUUCUUAGAAAACAAAAUUUAGAUAUUUACACGGAUAUAUAUAUAUAUAUAUAUAUAUAUUUGGAUUGAAUUUGAUAAUAUUUAUGUUGUAUUUAUUGUUCAUAGAGUAAAAUAACUAUUUAAAAAAUCUUAUUUAUUUAGAUUAAUUUAUAUCCAUAUCCUCGGAAUUCUGAUAAAAUGGUGAUGUUUCAUGGGGUGAGACAGUUGCCUCCUAUUGGGACAAUUGGAAUAGAUGACUCAGAUUCAACCUCGUGCCUAUAGAAAACAUUAUCUUCUCUAAUCUCUUUUUCAAUGGCUUCCUGAUCUUAAUUCUUAAUUAAAGCUCACAUGAUUGGAAAAUUCAACACCCUCGACUCCUUUUUCCUCUUUGGUUUGGCCGACUUCUUCAGCCGAACUUUCCAGGCCACCCCUUCUCCCUGUCCCAGCUACAACCUCCACUUUCCUCUUUGGUUUGGCCGGCCGACUUCUGCACGUAUGGAAAUAUAUACACACACACACACACACACACACAUACAUGAAUUUGUGUAUCCACUGCAGGUAUUAGAUAUAUGGCGACUACCAUGACGAUCAGAUGGAAGGACGAGGAAGAACAGGGAAGAACACGAAUGGCCUGUCAACGUGACAGAUGCUGUCAUUUUCUGCAGUUUUUUAAGAAGAAGAAACGAAGCUUUCUUGAAAGGGAUCAUAAGCACGAAUCGCAGUAAAAUAAAGAGUUUGUUAAUUUGCCUUUACACAAAAGAUUUUCAUUUGCGCAGCUUCCAAUAUUUCAAAGGUACUUUUCCAUCAUGCUCAAUUGCUUCAAAAGCCAGGAGUUGAAGUAAUUGACUAUGGAGGUUUUUCCCAGCUGUGUUCAACAUCCUCGCGCAUAUGACAUUAAUGCAUAAAAAAACAAUCCAUCGUGACGUCGUUCGUGUUCUGAAUAUAUGCCUCCGAAAAGAUAUACGACAAAGUCUUGCGAUCUCCGCUGCUCUGGAUGCAAAGUCAAACUUCUCAUAUUACAACCCUCUCUUACACCAACUUACACUGCUCGUUGCAUAAAAAAAACUAUAUUCAACAAGAAAUUCAAAAGAUUAUAUUAAACAAGAAAUUCAAUCCCUUCAUGUAUUGCAUCAUCUUCAAAAUUUGAUUUCUUGAACCUUCGAAGCCUUCAAUUUACUCGGUAUAAUCUCCUUCCUCGAAACUUACUCUUUGAGGAGGAGGGGUACUUGGAAAGAAAAACUAGUGUUAGAUUUAGAUUUGAUGGUGAUUAACUUGCAAUUUGGUCAUAUUGUAUCCAUACACUUGCAACUAUAUAUUUCAAUCCCAUGUACUUAGAGGGUGUUUGAGAGUGUGGUAGUGGUUGCUUUUCAAAUAGUUUUUCGUGCCGAAAAGCAUGCCAAUAAUGUUUUUUCAUUUUUUAAAAAUCAUUUUCGAUAUCAGCACAUCAAAACGAUCCAGAAAGUACAAACCGCAUUCAAUUUUAGCAAAAAAAAAAAAAAAUUGAAAUUUUGCAAAAAGCCGUUUGAACCGCAGUACCAAACGGCCUCUUAGUUUGUGAUCUAAGGUGAUAGCUAGUAAUGAUGAUAAUGAGAAUUGAAGUCUCAUUCCUAAUUAAAAAAUAUUUUAUUCAAAAAAAGAAAAAGAAAAAUUGAAAUAAUAGGUGAGAAUAAGAGUUAAAAUAUAAUAAAUUUCCGCUAUUCUUAUUAUUAUUAUUAUAUAUUCACCACUAUACUUAUUAUUAUUAUUAUAUAUUCAUCUACUAACACCACCUCAAGCGAUAAAAAUAUAAUUUAUUUUUAUUUUUAUUAAUACACAAACCUAAAAGUACUAUUUUAAAACCCGACCUGAUCACUUGAAAGGUUGAUCCAUGAUUUGAGUGACCUAGAGUCUAAGAUAGGUCGAGUUUUAAUAAAAAUCAAAGAGGAAUUGAUCUAAUAUAACCUGGUUAAAAACCUAGGUUAACUCAUGGCCUAGUAUGUUAAGGAAAAAUCUGGUUAAAACUUGUUGAUUUUUUUUCCCUUUAAAAUAAUGUCCUUUUUAAUUUUUUUUAAAAUAACAAAGAAUGGGUUGAACCAAGUCAAUCUACUCAACUCACCUAAUCUAUGACCUAUUAUUUAUCUUGAGUCGAUCUCCGAGUCAGGUUUAAAAAUUAUGACUAAAAAAAUAUAUAUUUUUAUUGUUGGUUAGUUUAUAUGUACUCAUUGUAGAUACACUAUUCAUAGAUAAAUUGUAACGAAUACUUUUUUAUUUUGGUAGCUAAAUUUUAUAUUUAUUCAAUUUUAUUUUUUUUAUGUGAUGUUUGUGAUAUUUGAUACGGUGAUAUCUUCUUCUCCGUACAUAUUCUUUAUCAAUCAAGUUGUUUAAUGAAAUUUAGAAUUGAAUUCAAUUUGAUUAUACACGAGAAGAAAAAAAAGAAACUAUAAUUUAUAUGUUCUAUUUGCAGAACAAACAUCAGCAAAUACGUACAAUGCAAAGUCAACCACAUGUAUCAAAUAUCAAAUGGACUUCAAAAUUUAAAACGUCUUGUUGGACGCCAGCUGCUAGGAUUGCUGGUUCCUACCAAGCCAUCGUAUAUACGUGUACGUUUGCUUUGUUCAAGGCCUAUGAUUUCCUCUUUUUUUAACAUAGAAAGAAAUAUUACUGGAUGGAAAAAUAUUUAUGUAAUAUUCCUAUAUUAAAAACUUAAUUAGCUUGCAAUUUGGUCAUAAUGUCUCCAUCAACACAUGCAACAUGCAACUAUUCAUUUCAAUCCCACGAAACUGAGUUUGUGAUCUAAGGUGAUAUUUAGUAAUGAUUAUAAUAAGAAUUGAAGUUUUCUUCAAUUCCUACUUUAAAAGAAGUUUGAAUAAAAAAAAUAAAAAGAGAAAUUGAAAUAAUGGGUGAGGAUAAGACUGAAAAUGUAAUAUUUUUUCGUUGUGAUGGGAGAAAAAAUUAAAAGUUAAUAGCAAGCUUUUUUUUUUUCAAGAUUAACAAAUUAUUAUAAUUGGUUGAGAAAUGUGGUCAAACAUGUUGACUUUUUUUAUUAUUUUUUUUCGAAAUGAUUUCAUUUUUGCCUUUUCAUAUAAUAAAAAUGAAUUUGUUGACCCAACUUAAUCCGGUCAAUCCACUUAACCUAUGACAUGCCCUGAGUUAUCCCGUAUUAGUUUAAAAACUAUGACUAAAAUAAUAUAUACUUUAUUUGUUCAUUAGUGUUUAUUUAUUCAUAAAGCACUGUGGAUAUAAUGUUUAUAGAUAAACUGAAAUGAAUUUUUUUUUAUUUAUUAUUUUUAUUUUUAUCAUUGAAUUUUUUAUUUUUUUUAUUUCAUCCUUCCAUAUCAUAUUUUUGAUAUUUUAUGUGGUGAUACUUUCUUCUGCUUGCAUAUUCUUUAGCAUUCAAGUUCUUUGAUAAAAUUUCAUAAUUUAAUUAGAGGUCAAUUUAAUUAAAUAUGAAUUAGAAUUGUCGUAUUAAAAACAAUUAAAAGAAGGGGGAAAAAUAAGGCUUUUCUCAUCUUCAUGCGAAAACAUCAUUUCCAUCCUAAAAGUCUUCAUUUAUGCAUUUUUAGUCCUUUUAAUUUUAUACUUUUAUUUUUAGUUCCUAAUUUUUUAACGUUUUAGUCCUUUAUUUUUUUUUAUAGAGGAGUGAGAAAGUUGUUGAAAAAUGGUGGAAGAGAGAGAAAGUAGUCGGUUAACCAUAUUUCAAUAACAAAAAAAAAAAAAAACUGAUAUUGGUUUCAAUAGAUUCCUCUUGACAAGAGAUAUACUAUUUAAUUUUUUUUGAACUUUAAUCUAACCGGAAAAACAAGAUCAGGAUAGGGAUAUAUUUUUUUAUUUGAUUUCAUUUUGGACUUUUUAAUCAAUUUAAUGGUGCUUUAAAAUUGAAAAUGAGUUUAUUAAUGUCGCGGGGUGCCCACCGAUGUGACGUCGUCUGGUGACGACAGAGGCUCUUGUCGUGCCUCCUGAUGAGGUGUUGUGUGUUGGGAAGGGUUUUUGGAUUUAAUCAUGAACUUAUGAUUAAUGUUUAAGAGUCGCCUUUUAGUAUUAUAAUUACUAGAAACCUAUGGUCUGCAAGAGUUUGGGUUAAGGACUGGUUGUGCAAGGAAAAUACGCAUUACCCCUAGUGCACCCUACCUAAAGUAAGCUACAUUGUUGUUUAAUUAUUUUUUUCUGAGUCGGGUUUCUAUUUGUUGGUAUUUUCUGAGGUUCAAGGCAGAUCUCUCUUCAUGAGAGAGUCUCUACCUUAUCGGCUUAAAUCCUAACCGUUCAAAAGUAUGAAUUUUAGCAUUGCAUUUUUACAACUUAUAUCUUUAAUACAUGAGGGUGUACUUUAUCUUGUAAUUUUACACCUCACAAAUAUUAAAGUCUACAUCAGGAUUCUAAAAAAAAGAUUGGAAAAAGAUUUUUGACAUGUUGGCCAAAUGCUAAUGAAUAAUCAUAAACUAGUUAUGAUAUUUAUUUUUGACGAAAAAAAAAAUUAACAUGAAAAGGAUGCAAUUUUUGUUUUUUAUGAAGAUAUGCUUGGAAAAUUUUUAGGAUUUGGCCGUAUACAUGAAAAUAAAAUAUUUUUUGUUUGUUUUGAAAAAGAGAAAUUAAUUUAAAAGUUUUUUGAGAUUUUUUUUUUGGAAAUAUUUCAAUUGUUUUUUGAAAUAUUUUGUAGCAAACAGGGUAUUUUAAUACCAGAUUUGUAUUUUACAAUGUAAAUAAACAACUCGAUAUCAUGCAAAAUGGGUAGAAAAAUAUACGAGAAAAUCACAAUUUUUUUAAAAAGGGUUCUAGAAUUUAUUUUUAUUUUUUUGGGGUCGGGUUUAAAUGUUAAUUAUUUUGCAGAACGUGAACAGUAGUUCACGUUCUGCAUUCAACUACACAAUUGCGGACGAUGGGAGAGAAAAAUGGGAGGCGACCUGGCGGAGGGGAUGGAGAUGUUGUUACUGGCCUAGAGUGAAGUGGGUGGAGGUGCUGGUGGCCAGAGUCGGCUGCGGGAGGAGAAAGGUUUAUAUGGGGUCUUCAUAGGAUGAAGACACGGUGGAGAGAGAAAGAGAUAAGAAAUAUGCAUAAACCGAAAAAAGCUGGUGUUUUGGCUGACUUUGGACCCAAUUUUCUCCCCCUUCAGGCAAUGAAAUCCACCUCUAUUUACAGGCAGUGGAAGAGGGCAAUCUUGUCUCCACUUGAGAAAAAUUGCAGCCCUUGAUUCAAUUGGUAAGGAUCCCAACUGUUAGCUCAAAGUAGGCAUCUUGAGUUGUCAAAUCUGCAGGAAAGGCUUACUUAGUUGGCCUUUUUAGGCCGACGUCGGAACCAAUGGCUUGUCAUUCAUCUUGAACGGCCUAUAUGGUGCUAUAGAGAAAUUACAGAGAAUCAUUUAUGUGCAAGAUUUGUUAAUUUUUAUUGACGUUAGAUGCAUUAAAUGCAUUUGUAAAGUAGCCUUCCUAAGUUAUCAUUUCAGAGAUUUAAGAAGAAGAUGAAUGGUACCAAAGUUUUGUUUUGGCUAAAGUUCAUUUCAGUCCUCCCUCUUUAAAUUUGAUUGAAUUGCACCUAUAAUUGACUCUAAAAGUUCAAUUUUUUUAUGAUUUUUCCCCUGAUUUCAAUCAAUUAACUUGGUAAAAAAUAAAUUUGGUCUCUUAAAAUUUCAAUCUUCUCAAUUAAGCCUAAAUUAGGCUCCCAAACUUAAUUUUUCACAAAUUAAGCCCCAAAUAAAAUUAAUUUGACCCAUUUAAAGUAUAAUUAAGUCCUUGCACAUAAUUAAAUCCUUCAAUUGGACCCAAAUUAAUUCUUAAACAUAAUUAAAAUUUAAUUUGUCCUAUGAUUAAAUCAAAUUGACCUAUUAAAAAUUUAAUUGUGUCAUUGGAUUUAAUUUUUAUGCAAAUUCGUCCAAUAAUCAUUCAAUUUGACCUUGAAUUUGCAUUUUUCUUCAUCUUAGGCAUAAUAAGGUGCCUUAAAAUUUCUUUCAAAAUUAUGGCUUUCUCCAUGUUGCCAUCCUUUAUUUUAUUUUUUGUGUUGUAUUUUGAAAAACAAAAUUGAAUUUUGGAGAAUAACCAAUAUUUGGGUCAUGAAUUUUGCUUAUGAUCAAAACUAUUGUCAUAACCCAAUUCUGGGUUAUUCCCCAAAAAUAACUUCUUUUUCAAAAUAAAAAUAAAAAAAUAAAAUAAAGGCUAGUAAUAUGAAGAAAGUAGGCCGGGGAAUUAAGCUGCAAUUUUUUUAAAGGAAAUUCAAGGCCUAAUUGUACCCCAUUAUGCCCAAAAAAUGAGAAAACAAUGCAAAUUCAAGGUCAAAUUAAAUGAAUAUUGGACGAAUUUGCAUAAAAAUUAAGUCCAAAGACAUAAUUAAAUUUUUAAUAGGCCAAUUUGAUUUAAUCAUGGGCCAAAUUGAAUUUUAAUUAUGUUUAAGAAUUAAUUUAGGUCCAAUUAGAGGGUUUAAUUAAGUGCAAGGACUUAAUUAUAUUUUAAAUGGAUCAAAUUAAUUUUAUUUGGGGCUUAAUUAGUGAAAAAUUAAGUCCAAGGACAUAAUUAAAUUUUUAAUAGGCCAAUUUGAUUUAAUCAUGGGCCAAAUUAAAUUUUAAUUAUGUUUAAGAAUUAAUUUGGGUCCAAUUAAAUGAUUUAGUUAAGUGAAAGGACUUAAUUAUACUUUAAAUGGGUCAAAUUAAUUUUAUUUGGGGCUUAAUUGGUGAAAAAAUAAGUUUGGGAGCCUAAUUUAGGCUUAAUUGAGAAGAUUAGAAUUUUAAGAAACCAAAUUUAAUUUUUACCUAGUUAAUUGAUUGAAAUUAGGGGUCAAAUUGCAAGAAAAUUAAAGUUUUGGGGUUAAUUAGGGGUUAAAUUGAAGAAAUCCGAGACCAAGGACUAAUCUGCAACAGGCGGCAAACUAUGGGGGUUCAAUUGACAAAAACCGAGGGUGAAAUUAAAGAAAUUAAAAGUUUCAUGAUCAAUUAGGGGUUAAAUUGAUAAAAUCCGAGACCAAGGACCAUUUUGUAAAAGGUGCUUAACUUCGAGGUUCCAAUUGAAGUUCAUCAGGGGCUUAAUUGCAUUAAAUCAAAAGUUUAGGGUCAAUUGAGGGUCUAAUUAAACUCAAUUGAAAGAUGGAGGACUAAAUUGAAAUCCAGUUUAAAUCCCUAAUUCAAACCCAAAACGGCGUCGUUUUGAAUAAAUAAAAAAAGAGGACCAGACGACAUUGUCUUCCCUGUUUUACCCGAAAGAAACAGCGUGGGAGCCUACUUUGUAGGUGCAUUUAAUGCUUGAUUUCUCCAUCAAAUCAAACAAAUCUUGCAUGAAACGAAUCCCCUGCAGUUCCUCUACAACCCCAUUUAAUGACAGCACGGCGACGCCGGUGACAGCGUGAAGAGGUCAACUCAGGCAACCUUUAUCUGCAGAUUUGACAACUCAAGGAGGCUGAAAUUUUACCAACGAUUAUGAUCCUUCCCAACCAAAUCAAGGGCUGAAAUUUUACCCCGGUGUAGAAGAGAUUACCCUCUUCCACCUCUAAAUAGAAGCUCUGUUGAUGACCUGAGGGAGAAGAAAAUUGAACCCAAAGUUGGCCGAAAACCAGCCUUUCCUGCUCAUUUUUCCUGCAACCGUCCAUUCUCUGCUUUCUCUCUCCACCGUGGCCUUCAGCCAUCACCACCUUCAUCAGUCGUCCUCUCACCAUCAUCCCCACCUCAAGUAGCCCUCAAACCACCUCACGUGGUGGUUGCACCACUUCUCUCUCUCCCCUCUGUAAAAAUCUUCUUCUUUGCCACUGUGACCCUAGCAGCGGCAGCAGUAGCAACCACCUCGCCCAGAAGUUUCUGCCCUUCCCAAAGACCGCCAGGACAACAGCUCUCUCCUCAGCCGCUCCAGCAGUUCCAACCGUGAGCUUCCCUUCUCCUUUGCAGGGGUCUUCUUCUUCCAGCUGCGGCCCCAGCCCACCGUUGGCAUCACGACCUCCAGUUGUACCGUUCGCCACCAGUCAGGCCGCCAGCUCCUUCAACGCCAGGUGAGUCUCUUUCUCUCUCUUCUUCUUCUUCUUCUCGUCACUAUCAUUGUUGCACGUGAACAGUGCAACAUGAAUUAAUUCACGUUGCACUGUUCCAUGCAACUUAGUCACUGGGCUGCCCAGUGACUAAGUUGCUACGGGCUGGACCUGCUUUAGCCAGCUCAGGUGGAUGGGCCGGGUCCAGCCCGUCCCUAAAAUGCAGGAAGAAAAUAUAUUGGCCCGAGUCUGGCCCAAUCUUUUUGGGCCCAUAAUUAACACACUUGUAUUUGGGCUUGUGCUGGGCCCAGCCCACAUGCAUUGAUAUAUUUAAUUAUUUAAUAUAUAAUUAAAAAUAAAAAUAAAAUAAAAUAAACAAAAAUUUUCCAAAAAAUUUCACAAAUCCUUUCAAAAAAUUUGUAAUUUUCUCAAAUAUUUUUCUACCAAUUUUUUUCAAUAUUGGAUUGUAUACUUACACUGUAAGAUACAAAUCCGGUAUUAAAAUACCCGGUUUUCUCCGAAAUAUUAAAAAAAAUUCAAAAAAAAAUAUUUUAUUGCAUACGGCCAAAUCCUAAAAUUUUUCCAAACAUAUUUUUCAUAAAAAAAAAUGGAUAUUAUAACCAGAGUUUAUGAUUAUCCAUUAGGAUUUGGCCAACAUGUCAAAAAUCUUUUUUCCAAUCUUUUUAGGAUCCAGAUGUAGACUUUAAUAUUUGUGGGGUGUAAAAUUACACGAUAAAGUACACCCUCGAGUAUUAAAGAUACAAAGUGUAAAAAUAUAGACUUUAAAAUGAGUAGGAUUUAACCGAAUAGGGUAGAGACUCUCUCAUGAAGAGAGAUCUGUCUUGAACCUUAGAAAAGAUCAACUCGACUUAGAAAAAACAAUCAAACUACAAUGCAGCUUACCUUAGGUAGGGUGCACUGGGAGUGAUGUAUCUUCCCCUUGCACAACCAAUCCCUUACCCAGACUCCCGCAGACCAUAGGUUCCUAAUAACCAUAAUAGUAGAUGGUGAAUCCUAAAAAUUAAUUAUAAUUUAAUGAUUAAAUCCAAAAAAAAUUUCUCAACACACCACACCUCACACAAGAGGCGCAACAAAGCGCCUCCGCCAUCGCCAGACGACGUUGCGUUGGCACGCCCCCACGACUCCUAUCACAAUCUUUUUGAAAACCUUUUUGAAUCCUUUUCCUAAUACAAUAUCUAACUUAAUCAUUUUAUGGGCUCAAGAUCAAAUCCAAUCUUUUUACAUAGAAGAAUGACCAAACCUUCCACUUAAUAUUUUAUAUGACACAAGAUUAGAAAACCCUUCCUCACCAAUACUUGUUGAUAGACAAGUAUCAAACCACUUCAAUAGCCUUUAGAAGGCUUUCUCAAGUGUUUUAAAUGUUACUUACACUUUUCAUAAUAUUACACUCUUAAUAAUAUUGGGUGUAAUACAAAUGUAGCAUUUGAAAGAGUUUUGCCCCAAACACUUCAACCCUAUUUUGGAUUAACCAAGAGUAUAAAAAAGGUUGUAUGAAAGUAGGAAUUUGAUCAGAAUCUUGCCUUAGAUGUCGCUUUUCAUUUUUCUAAAGAGAUGGGGUUUUAUGGGCAAAAAGCUUAAACUAAAUGUUGGAUAUGACUUCUAACAAUUAUCUACCCUUUAUAAAAUCAGUUGAAGCGUUGUUAAGCAUGUUAGACCGUUACGAAAAAUUUAUAAAAUUUUCAAGAAAUGGUUGGAUCAAUUCACAAAAUGGUUAAACCAUUUUGAAUAAUUUCUGGAGUUUCUAGAAAACAGUUGGGUCAUUUUUCAAAAUGGAAAGAUUGUUUUGCCUACUAGAACUUUUCUUCAGUUUUAUGUGUUUUUGGUCUUGUCUUGGUUUUCUUGUGUUCUUCUGGGUUUGUUUAGGUUUUGUUGGUGUGGAAGCUAAUUCCUAAAAAACAAAAAUAUAUUUGGUAAAUCCUCUUUAUUAUAUCUUAUGUUUUGAAGUUGAAAGUUGUUAUUGCAUCAAGAUUCUUGUUUGAAAUUGAAAAUUGUUAUUGCAUCAUUUCAUGUAUUAAUGCCUUGCUUCUUUGAUAAUUUCCCUGAAUCGGGUAACCUAGAUUAACAUGUUAAAAACCCAUAAACCAAGUCAUAGACUCCCUUAAGGCUAAUAACUUGUGUUUUUAAAACUAUUGUUUAUUUACCAAUAUGAUGAUAAAAAUAAAAGAUCACAAAAUCGAGCAUUAAUUCAAUACUGAUACUUUUUCUUAAGAUCACGAUAGCCUCAUAGAAAGGAAAGUGACAAAUUAUGAAAUUCAAUUCUCAAUUAGUUAAUGUCGAAAUAUUAAAUUGAAAAAAAUAAUUUUUUUCCAAAAAAAAAAAAAAGUUAAACCCACCAAACUCAUGAAAAUAUCUAUGGACUUUCAAAAAUUUAAUAACACGGUUUUUUUUCGAAACAAUUUUUUUUAAUUACAUGAUAAAAAAAUAUACUUUCACAAAAUAAAGUUCAAUUAAAAAAUAUACCCUACCAAACUUACGAAUCGGGGAAACCCGAGUUACCACGUCAAACUUACAAAUCGAGUCACUGACUCCACAAAGUUUAAUAACUUAGUUUUUCAAAAAAUUAUUUUUAUUUGACUAAAUUUAAAAAAAAAACACACCAUAAUACUGGGAUAUUUUUCCGAUUUCAACCCAAUGCUAAAAUAUUUUUCUAAUACAAUUAUAACCAUAUAUAAAAUUAAAAUAAAAUAUCAGCUCUAAAUUAUAAUAAACAUAUAACAUAAAGACUAAAAUAAAUAAAAGAAUCAUAACCAAAGAAAAAAAAAUCUGGAUCGAAAUGCAAUUUUAUUUUAUUUUAUGCUUUUACAAAACACUCCACACCCUUACCGUUGUAAUUCACAAUAUUUAUGAGUGUGGAGGAAUAGUGUUUUCCCAAGAACUUAGUAAAAGUAUGAUUUCUUUUAAUUUUAUUAAUGAAAGAAUGAAACGUUAUGAUUGGUAGAAAAGAAAUAGCUAAAAAAAAUUAAAUCAGUAGAUGGGAAAAUUUUAAAAUUUAUCCUUGUUUUUGUGUCAAUUAAUCAUUUAUCUACUUUUAAUUUAAUUAAUUAAUUUGUAUGUUCUUUGAAUUUAUAUUCUUGAAUUUUGUACUAUUAACCUUUGUUCUUCGAAUUAAUUCAAUUAACUCAAUAGUUAAUUUCUAUCAAGUUUCAACAUAAAAUAUGCAUGCUAAUAAGAGAUGACUUUCAUAUUUAUAUAAGAUUUAUAUCACCAAUUAAUUGUCUUACAAAAUAUAUUAAUGUUAAUAUUUUUUACAAAAAUUCGAGAAAAUAAAAGGUGAUAUCAUAAAUGAAAAGUACUUAAUGAUAUCACUUCUUAGUGCAUAAUUAAUAUUGAUAUAGAAAUAAAUAAUUAUUUAUUUAUUGAGUUAAUUGGAGAGAAUGUAUAGAAAUAAAUAAUUAACGAAUACAAAAGGGUAAAUUCAAGAGUUUUAUACUCAAGCCCUUGUACUUAUUUAUAUUUAUAAUUUUUACAUUAUGAUUAAAUUUUUAUUAUAUUACAUAUAUGAUAUAUAUAUUUUUUUUAAUUGAAACAAAUGUUUAGAUAGUUAUUUAAACCAUUUUUUUUGUUAAUCUUUGCACUUACAAUCUCUAUAAUAUUAUUGAUUUAAAGAAAAAAGAUAUUUAUGAUGCCCAGCUUUUAUAUAUAAUUUACGUUAUAAUAUAUAUUCAUAAACAUAAUAUAAAUAUUGUACAUAUAAUAUAUAGAUAUAUAAUCUUGUAGGGGUAAGAUAUUUUCAAUAUGAAAUUGUUAAAUAAUGUGUACGUGAAACCCAAAAUAAAAUUUUUCAGGAAAAAAAAAACCAGAUGAGCUAACGUGUUUUAAGGUCAGAUAGAUGCAAAAAGUUUUAUGAAAAUAUUUUUAUAAAAGAUUUUUUACAAGAGAGUUUUGGUAAUUAUACCAAAAUAUUUCCCAGAAAGCAUGAUUUGUAUUGUCAACUUAUGGAAGCGUAAUGUCAUUACAUGUAGUUUGUUCAUGUAUGCGAAAUUUCCUGCAUUAGACGUAAAUUUAAGCUACGCUCAUCUCAUAAGCCCAUUGAUAUGCUGUACUAAGUGGUUAGAUACAAAGUAUAUGUGGUUUACGACUUUUUCUUUCUUUCCAUUCAAGUGCUAGUAUUGAUUUUGUUUUUAUGUUAUAGGUAUCUGUUUGUGAUGGAUCAUUAUAAAUGUUAUUUGUGAUUAAAGUAUAUAUUUAAAAAAUUUAAAAAUAAAGUAAUAACUAAACUUGAGAGAAUAUUAUGCUCAAAUGAUGUGGACAUGACCUUACCUUUAAACUCAAUAUUCUUAAAUUCAAUUAUAUUAAAUUAUACAUGUAGAUCAAACUUAUACAUGUAGAUCAAACUCAAUGUUACAUCUCACUCAAUGUUCUUGAGAGAUGUUAAACUCAAUAUUCUUGAAAACAGCUACGCACUCGGUCUAAAUAUUAAACCCAACAUCAUGAAUUCUACCGUGCAUUGAACCCCAGUGCAUUUGAAUAUAACAAUAUGACAUCCCAACAUUCUUGAGUUUAUGUAUACUUUAUGCCCAAGUACAUGCAUCCUUGUAUUCAAGCAUAUAUUGUGCCUAAGUACAUGUUGAUAUAGUAAUAUAUCAGACCCAACAUCUUUAAAAUUCAGCUAUGAAAGUAAAACAUGUGGAGGAAACUUCAGGAGCAUACAACACCAAAAAACCUGUUUGGUAAUAUAUCCAGUAGGUUUAUCCGUGCAAAUUCUGUGAUAUAUGUUUUGAUUGAUUACACAACAUGGCAUUAUUAACGAUAAUAAAUAAUAGCAUACAUAGAGACAGAGCUAAAAGAGUGUUUGCCACAAGUUUUCACACCAAAAAGCACGCAAAGCACAAAACAUUCUCAAAACGAACAAAAACCGAUUCUCCCGAGAAUUUAUUCAAGGUUCAGCAAAUACUUCCAGAAAUGGCAACGCCAUCACACAAUUUCCUGCGUAACGAUCAACAGCAAGAACAUUAGUAAACGCAUGAAGGCGUAUAUACUUAAUUAAUCUUGGACUUCUUUUUCAUCAAAUGAAAUCAUCUUGGAUUUGUGUUUUUAUAUAUGAUGUUUGCUUGAUGAAAAACAAAGAGAUAGUAAAUCUUAAAUAAGAAUUGUAAAUCCUUGUGUUUUGCUUGUUUAGAAACUUACAGUACUGAGCGGAAUGAUCUUCCAUUGUUGGUUAUCACCUUUGUUCCAUUUCCAGAGCACAAUAGUGGUACCAUCAUGAACCCCACCAGAUUUCUUAUCACCAUGAAAAGCAUCAACAUUCAGGUGGGUAUUGUUAACCAUCCUUACAGCUCUAAAACCAUCACCCAUGUCCUUGCUUUGGGUCCAUAGGAUAGACUCAUCAAGAACAUCUGGAUUGUAUGGAAUCAGCUGCACCUGCAGAAAUAUAAUUUCGGAACACGUUUGACAUUGUUGAAGGCAUAACAUUUUUUGCUCAAGAGGAAAAAAGGAUUAGGCUUUCAUGAGGACUUCCUCUUAGCUAUCAAAGCGCUCAAUUGUUUAUUUGUCAACUUAUGCCCACCAAAAGCAGGGACACAACAUAUUUCACUACAGGAUAUAUCCUACACCACGUGCACUGUAAACAAAUAUUUUGAAGGAAAAUCAUAACUUAUUUCAGUAACAACCUUACAAGAGUCUCUAAGUAGAGAAGUUUUAUUUGUCAAGUAUAUGAAAGAAAAUCAAGUUCAAGCUGAUUUAAAAUGUUUCUAUGGUAGUAAGCUCAAUUCCUCUAUGGUACCAUGGUACACCUGCAUGCAUGCCCACAAGUUGAAAGCUGGUAUAGAACAAUCAAGUGAUAGGCAAUAAGAGUUGUAUAUUAGAAGCCUUAAAAUGAUAUUUGGGUAGAUUAAGAAUGAGAGGAGCAACAAAGCCAUUGACACUAGUUAGCAAACAAUUCUAAAUUUGUGGCCUGGUCAUUACUGUGUUUACACCUACACCCCCCUCAAUAGAUUCCAAGCUGUGAAAUGUGGGAAGCAUGCUGGUUCUUUCUCAAUAAAAAGAAAAAAAAACAAGUAAUUUAAACACUAAAUACUUCAUAAUUUGUGACACCAGUUCUUGUCUAGGAUGACUAGCUUGGAUAAAAUGAAUAGGGAGAUUUGAAGGUUUGGUGCAUCAAAACCCAAAACAUGCAUGCUAAACAUGUUUUGAAUAAUCUGCAGGACAAUAAAUGAAGAAAUUCUACUCUGUUGUUCAAUCCAAUCUUACCACAUUAUGUUUCUGUGAGGCCUUAAAGAGGAUAUACAAUGUUGGAUCAUUUAUGGUCAUGAACAACAGUGGCAAGCAAUGUAUCUGAGAUCACAACUGAAAUUUACAGAAACUGUUGCCUUGUGUACAAUAUCCAGUCACAGUCUUAUCAGCAAUGCCCACACUUCCAAAGGAAAAGAAAAACAUCAACCUCUUGGUUUCCUAUAGAAUAUAGAGUUUUGGACAAUGUAUUAAAUCAUUAAAAGUAACUCUUGUUCACAUUUCAGUCCCAAAUUACCUUGAUCAGGUUUAAAAGCUGCUUAUACAACGUUGAGUCAAGCUCAUAAGAGCACCUUCUAUGUUUCCAAAACGCAUGGGCUAUUUUGACUCAGUAUCGAAGAAAACGAGAAUACACAAAUGCAUAUAUAAAAUGAAUUGAAACAAAGUCUGUCAAAAGAUGAUGCUUUACAAGGGCAUGUUUUCCGCAACUAAAGGUCAAGGCCAUGAGACAUGAAAAUAAAAGACAUAGAAGAACAAACUUUCAACAAGUUCAUGAUCUCAGAGAAUUUCUUACAGGGUUUGCCUCUCCAAUGGAAUGCUUUAUGGCCUGACCAGUGGCCUUGUUUACCAAAGCAAAGGCAGGACAUCCCUCCGAAUCCUUCACUCUUGUGCUGAACUUCUCAUCUUUAAACCAGUUCUAUAACAACAACAACAACCAGCACAAAUCAAACACAACUACAAAUAUGUAAAACUCCAAAACUCUGAAAUGGAAUAAUGAAAAACUAAAGCAAGCAGGUCUAAACAACUAAAAUGAUCAGUCUGCACAAGGAUCAUAUGAUUGUAAACAUUAACCAAAUAACCAAAGACAAGGACAAAAAAAUGUGAUCUUUUCAUGCUUAUGGAAUUUGAAUUACAAAACAAUGAUCAGAUUAAAUACUCGUGAGAAUUGUAACCAAACCAACCAAAAAACAAAUGCACAUAAAAAGACAAACCCAGAUUAUAGUAAUGUGAAUUUAAAAAACGAAACUUUAUGAAAUAGAAGCAAAAAUGUGCAAGGAAGGUAUUUUUAUAGACAAAUUGAGUUUGAGAGAAAGGAAAGUUUUCACUUUUACAUACUUGGAAUUCAUCAGAAGGAUUUGACCGAGCAAGAAUCACUCUUCCGUCCCUAAUAGUGAGGUGAAAAUCAGGUUCAGCUUUGCUGUAAACCUUGAAGCUAGGUUUAUUAUAAAGGUCAAGCCCAGAAGCAGAGCCAGAUUGAUGAGUUUGCUGGUGAAUGGAAGAUGGCAUAUGCGGCUUAAAAGACUGAUGGGUUUCAGUUUUUCAUGAAAACAUGAUUCACUUGUGUUGGGAUGGUGGUGAAGGUGCAUAGGUAGCUUCUUGAAAAUAUGGUCUUGGUGGUUGUGGAGGUUCUUGAUAGUAGUGUGAGGAGGGAGGUUGUGGUUGGUGGAAAGAUGGUGGUUGUGGAGGUUCUUGAUAGUAGUGUGAGGAGGGAGGUGGUGGUUGGUGGAAAGAUGGUGGUUGUGGAGGUUCUUGAUAGUAGUGGGAGGAGGUGGUGGUUGGUGGAAAGAUGGUGGUGUGGGGUAGUGUCUGGUGGCGG
This 79023-nucleotide long non-coding RNA is filed under the name Populus tremula. Its description in RNAcentral is "long non-coding RNA (PTRE_LNC001668)". Lineage: Eukaryota; Viridiplantae; Streptophyta; Magnoliopsida; Malpighiales; Salicaceae. The record is from RNAcentral.